GAGGUUCCAAGUUCAAGUCUCAAUGGGAACAAAAAUUACCUUUCCAACGAAGGAAAAAAAAAAUGUCUUCCCAUGAAACAAUUCAAGCUUAGAACAUUAGAAAGAAGUAAAAUUCACACCAAUAAAAGCCCAUAACACUUAACUAUCUAUAAAAUUAGAAAUUUUCCUUUCGAAAACCCCAUAUUGUAGUUAUCCAAAUAAAUUAAAAUAGAACUUUAAAAGGACCUUAGCCAAAAAAAAUUGAAAAAGUUAUUCUCUAAGGUUGUCUUAUUUGGAGCUCAAUUGUUUUUUUAAUCAAAAACAGCAAAUUCAUUUUAAUGAAUUCAAAGGAAUGGUAAAGGACAAAUAGAAAGAGUACGAACUCCUCAAGUGGGAAAGAAGUCCUUUACAAAAGAUAUUACUUAAUUUCUUGCUUAGCUAACUAAUCUACAAUAUGAUUAGCCAAAUGCAAAGCAUAAGACAAAGAGCAUCCCAACCCACUAGCUACACCUAUAAUUUGGGAAAGCCGCUCAUCAUAUUCCCACAAUCAUUUUUCUUCUUAGACGACAACCCAUGAAAUAACAACUCUAAAAUCUCCCACAAUCCAAAGAUUUUAAAGACUAACCAAGCUUUCUUCGGUAGGUUUUAGGGGAAAUUUUUUCCAACACUAUACUACAAUAAUCUCUAAUCAUGCCUCCAAUUCCUAAUUGCUUGUAUUACACCCAUCAAAAGAUAGUGCUACAAAACCAUUCAGAGGCAAAUUCCACAUUUUAUAUAUAUCCUCAAGGACCUCAACAAUCCUCUCAAGACCUACCAACAAGGUUCCAUCAUAGAAGUAGAAACCUCAAAGUAGUGUUUGCAAAAGUUUUAGUGAGAGAAACAGAACAGGAUUGAGGAAGUCAAGGACCAAACCCUCACAUCUAGGAGGAAAUAGACAUGAAUUGAAAAAGGCAUAAAAAGCUCACCCUCCUUAAUUUCCAUAUCAAAAAUUUUAUCAAAGAUAUCAAGGACUUUUAUUUCAUUAUUUUAGUUGGUGAGUUGUAUAAGCUUCUAGUGGACAUGUUGGAAAAUAAGCUCAAAAGGUUAUUGACAAAGUUGUUUUUUAUUUCCAAAAUGCCUUUACCGAGGGUUAGCAAAUAUUGGAUGCAGUUUUGAUGGUUAAUGAGGCCAUUGAUUCUCAAAUCAAGAGCAUAAGAGUUGGUGAGGCUUGCAAAUUGGACAUUGAAAAGGUUUAUGAUCAUGCAAACUGAAAAUUCCUCCUUUUGAAUAGCAUGGGCUCUAAAAAAAAAUGGGUUGAGUGAAUUAGAUUUUACCUUUCAAUAGUCCAUUUUUUAGAAUUAGUGAAUGAGACUCUAUCUAGGUUUUUUCAGAUGCCUAAGGCAGAGAGAUAUGCUUUAUCCACCUUUAUUCAUUUUGGUGAUUGAGGCCUUGAGUUGAAUUACAAAUUAAGCUGUAAAUGGAGGUUUUAUUAAUAGCUUCAAGGUAAAAGAUUUUGUUCAUUAACAAGUCUCCUUCCCUCUCCCUCCUUUUUAGGCUAGCAAGGAGCAAUUAUGAUAUUUAUGAUGGAUGCUUCUUUAUUUUGAAGUAUUUUCAGGCUAAAAAAUUAAUUUGGAAAAGAAUUCAUUCCUAUGAAAAAAGGUGAUGCAGUUGGCCCCCCCAAUUAUACCUUUCAAAAGGUGGUAGGCUCACUUUAUUGAAAGGCGUCUUCUCUACCUUCCCAAUUUAUUCUAUGUCCCCUUCCAUGAUUCCAAGACAAAUGCAACUCAAAUUAGAGAGAACUCAGACAGAUUUUUAAGGCAAGCGAACCUCCUAAUAUUAAGAUGCAUCUGUCUGUUUCUGAUAAAUAAAAAAUAAAAAAUAAAAAUAAAAAUAAAUAAAAGAUGCAUCUGGUUAGAUGGGGUAAGGUGUGUUUAGAGACAAAUGAGGGAGGGCUAGCAAUAAAAGGUCUUUAGUACUGAAUAAGACCUUCUUAGGAAAUGGUUAUGGAGACUGUGAGCAGGAAUCUGCGCAAAAAAAGUCACUAUGGGAAAACCUCAGUAAGCUGGUAAGGGGCUGGUGCUCUAGAAUUGGUAGAGAAACUCAUUGUUGUAGGCCUUGGAAAGUGAUAAGUAACCAUUGGGCAGAUUUUCAAACAAAGCUAACAUUUCCAUUGGAAAUGACCAAUUGAAAAAAAUUUAGAUAGAUAAAUGGUGUGGGGGACAACGCUAGAAAAUCACUUUUUGACUCUAUUGGAUAUAGCAGUCAAUAAAGAAGUUUGGGUUGUAGAUUAUUGGGAUGCAAGAGAAAGGAGAAUGGCUUAUUGGAAUCCAAGGUUUAGGAGGAAAUUUUUAUAUUGGGAGUCUGAGAUAUUGGAGUUUUACACUUUUUGAACAGGUUGUCUCUUUGGAUCAACAUUAUAGACAAGUUAGUGUGGAAGACUGACAAACUAGUGUUUUUUCGAUCAUUCCUACAACAUCUUUGUGUCCUAAAAAUUUUUUUAUCCUUGCCUAGAGAUUUGGGCUUCCAUGGUGCAAUCCAAGGUUAACAUCUGUUGGACUUUAAUAUACAAGUGUUGCUUACGCAAGAAUCAAAAAGGGCUGACUACAUUCUCAUCCAUUGCAAAUGAUCAUCUGACCUCUACUCCUUGGUUUUUGUUCAUUUAGCAGUGUGAAUCCUUUCAAGUAAGGUCCAUGAUCUUCUCAUUGAGUGGCAUGAGAGCUUUGUGGGUCAAAGAAGGAAUUAGUAUGGAAGAUGAGCCCUUUUGGACUACUUGGAAAAAAGAAUAAAAGAAUCUUUAAAGGCAUUGAGCAUAUUUUGUUGGCAAUAAAAGACAUUUUUUUAAGUCUUUGCUUUCUUAGUUAAGAUGCUCAAGGAUGGGUAUCAACUACUUCGUACUCAACUUUCAUAUAGUUUGUGCUGGUAGUUGUACAAGGUAUUUUUAGUUCUUAUUUAGUGCAUCUUUACACCUCCUAUGUACAAGGGUUGCAUCCCCUUUUCUGUUAGAUGUCUUUUAAUGCAUAUCGUUUACUUUGCUUUACAAAAAUCAAAUGAAGUUCCGAGACAACAUGGAAAAUUAAGGAUCUAACAUGCAUGAAAUCCAUGGUGCAUAGGUCCAAGAGUGUUGGAUGUGGUAUGUGCCAAUGCGUCUAGUCCUUUACACCACAAAUUUUUGGAUAUUGGGGUACAAUUAAAACAAUCUUAAUAACAGGUAUAGGCACUUGGAUACAACAUAAUAAAAGGAAAAAAAAAAAUCAAUUCAAUAUCAACAAAAGGAUAUCUUUCAUAAGAUCUGUUUUUUUUUUCUCUAUUUUAUCCGUAUCUUUCGUUCUUAUCUUUAAAAUAUUUUUGUUUUAUUUUUUAAUUCCUUUUUUUUUUUUUUUUGUUAGAAACAAAAGCACGUUCAUUAGAAAUAUGAGAACACAAGAGAAGAAUGAAAAAUCCCUUCCUAAAUUACAAAACCCAAUAAAAAAAACAAUGGGAAAGAAGUACACUUCACUAGACAUCAAAACAAUUUAACAUUGUUUUUUAACCCUUUUUUGAUCCACAUAAUGUUGAGAUAAUGCACUUGAAAGCUAUAAUAGCAAAGGCUAAAAAAGAUGAAAUAGAAAUAAAUUAGAUCCCCAUAUCAUCUCGAAAGUCCACUUGUCCUAAAAGAUCCUUACAUUUCUUUCUUACCAUAUUAUCCAAAUCAAAGUAAGACAAACAAUGUGUCAUAGAAUUUUGCCUCUAAUAGUGCUCCCUAAACCCUUAAAGAAAUGGCCAAAAUGUCAUUGACACUUCUAAAAGGAACCCACUCCAAAUUGGCUAAGUCUAAAUAGCUUAGGCAAUACCUUCAAAGUCAUUGAAUAGUGAAAAAGGUGAUCCAUCGAUUCUCCAUUACCUAUACACAUAGUGCGACAAUCCAAACUAAGGGCUUUAAAACGUCUUCUCACCUAAAACAAGCCAUUGGUAUUAGCCCUCUUGUUGGCCACUAACCAAGCAAAUGCCUUGACCAUUGAUGGGAAUUUCAAUUUUCAUAUGAAUUUUGCUAGAGAGAAGAAAAGUGGAGUUGACUAAUUAGAUAAGGCUAAGAAAAAAUAGUUGACUGGAAAUAAAUUGGAGGGCAAUAAUGGCCAAACUCUCACAUCUAGGAAAGCGUUAAUAGCUUAACACAAUUGAGAAUAGACAUGAGGAUUUCAAGAUCCUAUAUCUCCAAACAAGUGAGGUUUUUUGAAAGUUAAAGUUCCAACUUAAAAGGGAAGAGAGUCUAAGGAUCAUUGUCAUACCCACACCCAUGUCGUGUCGUGUCGUGUCAUGUCGACAUAGGUAGGAGCCUUUGAAUUGUUGACUUGAAACAAUUAGGAAUUUAGUACAAUGGAAUUGAUUCCCCCACAAGUAUCUUUCUAAAAACAAACUUUGUAUCACUAACCACAAAAACAUGAAUAAAACAGGAAAUGCAAAGUAAGUACACAUAUGCAAUAGAUUUCCAAAGGCAUAAGUGCAACCACUAAACAACAAUGUUGGCAUCCCAUCAUUUGGAGCUUGACUAUCUUUCUUUCACAUUGGAAAACCAAACUUCAAUUUCAAUUAUAUUUAUCCCCUAAAUUAGAGAACUCAUCCUCAAGUUUUUGCCAUAUUCAACAUUAACCAUUUUAAAAAAGAGAACACAUAAAUAAGUAACAUGUUUGCUUUUGAUACCAAAACUAAUGCAACCUCGGUGAAAUGGCUAUAAAUUAGAGACAAAGAUGUUAAGAACAAAGGUUGAAACUCUGCAAACACAGUUUUAAAACAGAUUCUGCCAUUUCGAGGAAAAAUGGCUCAAAACCCAUGACUAUGGGGCUAAACUACAAUGCCCUAAAGAUAAAGAGACAAGGAAAUACUAAUAUCAAGCUUUUAUUCUUCCAAAGUCUAAGAUUGUAGAAACCAUCAUAGGAUGCAUUUAAAUAGACUUAAAGCUCACCAAAGGGAGCCCAUCUUCCCAUGACUAUCAAGUUGAGAGCUAGUGGUUUCCUCAUGAUAAAAAAAAAAAAAUGCAUGUCUACAUACACCAGGCAUAUCCAUCCCAAGUUACUUGGGUUAGAAGUUAUUUCAGCCCAAGUUAACGAUACCGUAUUUUUCCUGGACCUCAAUUAUUGCAUGAAUGAUUUAGGGCUGGCCCAUUAUAAAUAAAUAAAACUCAAACCUUGAAACAUCAACCCAACUGUAGAAAACAAAUUCCAAAAUGCCCCUUAAAUACUAAAAUCCAAAUUAAUUAGGGUGGAAACUAUAAAAGUGGAACUUUAAGAGGAACCUAAGUUGAAGUCAAACAGGUCACAUCCUCAAGUUUUCUUUCUUUAAAGCUUGAUCAUCUGCCUUUCAGAUCCAAAAGCUGCACCUCAGUUGUGGUUGCAUCAAUCAGAAUGAAAUACCCCUUGUUAGUUGGGUUUCCUCUUCAUUGAUAUAGAAAUUUUCAAUGGAAAUGUUGUCUAAGAAGUAACAUAACAUUUUGUUUAACUCAUAUUGGAUCCUUUUCUUCUUUUUGCAAGUGAGAAAUUAAAAAACAAAAUUCAAAAAAGUGAAAAAUGCAAAUAAUGAAUUAAUAAAUUUUUUUUCCCAUCACAUACAAAAAUAGGGUAGCAUUUGUGCAAAAUAAAAAAGAUUUGAAAAAGAAUACUGUCAGCCAAAAGAAGAACUAGUUUUUCUUUUGCCCUCAUCAACAUUAUAGCAAUUCCAGAUCUCAAUCAGCCACAGCAAAACAUUCAAGCUAUAUUUUAAGGAAUAAACACAAAGCCACAUGAAACUAUGAAUGUUAAGCUUGAAAUUGUACGUCUAGGCAUAAACACAGAAGCACAUGAAACUAUAAACCAUGGAACUCCAAAAUAAACUAUAUAACAGAUAAAACUAACAGAAAUUGAACUUGACAUCAAUGAAUCUUAAACUGCCAGGAAAAACUAGAAGAUAUUGCUUAAGUAAUACCUCAAGUAAUUGAAACAUGGAUUUCAUGUCAACAAGACUUUGUAUAGUUUCACGAUACACACUGCCGAGAAAGUUGAGUGGAAGAGAUAGCUGAAAUAGAAGCCCAUUCACCAUAACCUGUACAUACCAAAAUAAACCCAUAAUAUGAGAGAUCAUUCUUAAUCAUUUUUCCAAAUGCGUAGAAGUUCUACUAGUGUUUAUGAAGAAGAAUUUUUCACCAAAUCACCAACUGUCAUCUCGCCAUUCAUAAUCCCAUGUGAACAUAACACCAUAGCUGUUGAUAGGGCGGUGCUAAAUAUUAAGUUUUGGCCAAAGUUCAAAAAAGCAAGACUGCGUUGCGUUUUUAAGGCAGCAUCUUCAUACCCUGAAAGAUAGCAUCAUUAGUAGUAGCAUAAAACAAAUAUUUAAACAAAGUCAGUCAUUUCUAUCCCUAGAACCUAUAAGAUAUGGCAAUUUCAUGAUAUUAGAUAGUUUAAUCCUAAGUGUCACCCGUGUGGAAGCAAUACUUGUUUUAAGGCCAUCAUCAAGCAGAAAAUUCAAGUGAAGAUUGAUCAUUGCCUUGCUCGAUUGAGCAAUCCCUCUUGUGCAAGCUCCUAGAGUUUGUUUUGUAUGAAUGUUGAUCAUUUACAUGUUAGGAGCAUUCAUUUUGUAUUCAUUUUUUUUAUAAGAAACUAUUCUCGUGUUAAAAAGUAAAGGUUUGCACAAAAGGAAGAAGGAUAAGAAAUCAUUCAGGAAAGGAAAGAAAAUAUGGUAUAUAACCAUUAAAGCAAAAAAAAUCCCACAAUAGAUAGCAUUGGUUUCCAACCCCAAAGAAAAUCGAAUACCAAAACUCAAGGGAGAGGAAGACAAUAAGGAACUAUGCUAGAAGUACUGUUUGAAAACUUAUGAAAGAAGAAGAAAGAAUAUUUGUCAAGCUUCAAUGAUUCUAGGAUUGUUGGAAUGAGCUAAACAUGUGGAAAAAUUGAGAAGGGAAAUGUCCUUCAUUUUGAAUAGAAUACAUAUCCGGUUAAGAUAAGCCAUAGGAGUGUUGUAUAAAACCGAAACUACCCUAAACAAAAUCCUUAUAAAUUAGUAAACUAAAUAACUAUAAAUCAGGGAUUAAAUCCCUAUAAAUCAUAGAUUACAUUAUCUACCUGAUUUAAACCUAUUUACAUAAAAUAUAAAGUCAAGACUCAUAAAGAAACAUGUUUCUCUACACGCCCUCUCAAGCUAGUGAGUGAAUAUCAUGCAUUGCCAGCUUGCCAAUUAUUGCUUGAAACACGAUAUUGUUUAGACCCUUGAUCAGCACAUCGGCAAGUUGACUGCAUGAGGAAACGUAUGGAGUGCACAUGAAGCCACUUUCCAAUUUUUCUUCAAUAAAGUGCAUGUCUAACUCCACAUGUUUGAUCCAAUCAUGUUGCACAAGAUUAUGUGCAAUAUCGAUCGCUGAUUUGCAAUAGAGUCAGUGCUUCCUAGUUAAUCUUAAUAUUUUCAAGAAUUAUUUUCAGCCAUAGUAAUUCACAAAUCCCAAAAGCCAUUGCUUUAAGUUCCGCCUCAGCGGCUGACCUUGUUAUUACAUUCUACGUUUUACUCCUUCAUGUUACAAGGUUUUCACUAAGGAAUGUAAAAUAACCUAAUAGUCAGUGUCUAUCAACCACAGACCUUGCAUAAUCAGCAUCUAUGUAGACUUCAAGAGUCAAACUUAUUCCUUUCUUGAAUAGAAUCCGUUUCCCCGAUGUUACUUUAAGAUAGUAUAGUAUAGUAUAUGGUGAACUACUUGUAUAGUGCGGGGAAGACGAUUGGCAUAGGACGUGAGUCUCAAGGCCUCUAUCACCUCACCUCGGAUUCAUCUCCUGCAGUUUGCAUUUCCACUGAUGCUCCUCUCCUCAUUCACAGUCGUUUAGACCACCCUAGUCUCUCAAAGUUCCAGAAGAUGGUCCCUCGUUUUUCCACUUUGUUGUCGCUUUCGUGUGAGUCAUGUCAGCUUGGGAAACAUACUCGUGUCUCGUUCCCAAAGCAUUUGAAUAAUCGGGCAAAGUCUCCUUUUGAGCUUGUCCACACUGAUGUUUGGGGUCCUUGUCGGAUUGCGUCUACUUUAGGAUUUCAAUAUUUUGUCACUUUCAUUGAUGACUAUUCUCGAUGUACUUGGUUAUUUUUAAUGAAAAAUCGAGCUAAGUUAUUCUCUAUUUUCCAAAAAUUUUAUGCUGAAAUCCAGACCCAGUUCAAUAUUUCUAUUCGUGUGUUACGCAGUGAUAAUGCCAGGGAAUAUUUUUUAGCCCCAUUUACUUCAUUUAUGUCUCAUCAUGGGAUUCUUCAUUAGUCUUAUUGUGUUCAUACUCCUCAACAAAAUGGGGUAGCUGAACGCAAGAAUUGACAUCUUGUUGAGACAGCUCGUACUAUCCUCCUCCAUAGUAAUGUUCCUUUUCGUUUGUGGGGGGACGCUGUUCUUACCGCUUGUUAUUUGAUUAAUCGUAUGCCCUCCUCUGUUUUACAUGAUUAGAUUCCUCAUUUCCUUCUCUUCCCUGACCAACCACUUUAUUUCCUUCCUCCUCGUGUCUUUGGUUGUACUUGCUUUGUUCAUAUUCUCACUCCUGGACAAGACAAGCUUUCCGCCAAAGCCAUGAAGUGCCUCUUCUUGGGAUAUUCCAAACUUCAGAAGAGUUAUCGUUGUUAUUCCCUUGAGACUCAUCGAUACUUUAUCUCCGCUGAUGUCACUUUCUUUGAGGACUCACCAUUCUUUUCCACCACUUCUGAGUCUCUUCUUGUUUCUGAAGUCUUACCCCUUCCCAUUGUCUCCCCAUCUGAUGUUGUGCCUCCUCGACCACUUCAAGUUUAUCAUCGUCGCCCUCGUGUCGCUGCUCCUCUCCCUUUUGCUGAGGCACCUGCUGACUCACUUCCUAUCCCUUCGGCUUCUCCUGCCCUGGCUCUGCCUUCUCCUGAUGAUUUACCCAUUGCUAUUCGAAAAGGUACUCGCUCUACUCGUAAUCCUCAUCCUAUUUACAAUUUUUUGAGUUAUCAUCGAUUAUCUUCACCCUAUUCUGCUUUUAUUUCUGCUAUAUCCUCUGUUUCUCUUCCAAAGAGCACCUAUGAAGUUCUUUCCCAUCCAGGCUGGCGGCAGACAAUGGUGGAUGAAAUGGCUGCUCUGCACUCUAAUGGCACUUGGGAUCUUGUUGUUUUACCCUCUAGUAAAUCUACAGUUGGCUGUCAUUGGGUCUAUGCAGUUAAGGUUGGUCCUGAUGGUCAGGUUGAUCGCCUUAAGGCCCGCUUAGUUGCUAAAGGCUAUACUCAGGUUUAUGGUUCUGAUUAUGGUGACACAUUCUCCCCUGUUGCCAAGAUUGCUUCUGUCCGCUUGCUUCUCUCCAUGGCUGCUAUGUGUUCUUGGCCUCUUUAUCAGUUGGAUAUUAAAAAUGUCUUCCUUCAUGGUGAUCUUGCCGAGGAAGUUUAUAUGGAGCAACCUCCUGGUUUUGUUACUCAGGGGGAGUUUGGUUUAGUGUACAGGUUACGCCGUUCUUUAUAUGGCUUGAAACAAUCUCCUCGAGCAUGGUUUGACCGUUUUAGUUCUGUUGUUCAAGAGGUUGGCAUGCUUCGCAGUACAACAGACCAUUCAGUUUUCUAUCAUCAUAACUCCUUGGGGCAAUGUAUUUAUUUGGUUGUUUAUGUAGACGACAUCGUCAUUAUAGGCAGUGAUCAGGAUGGUAUUUAGAAACUAAAGCAACAUCUUUUUACCCACUUUCAGACCAAAGACUUGGGGAAACUCAAGUAUUUCUUGGGAAUUGAGAUAGCUCAAUCCAGUUCCGGUGUGGUCCUUUUCCAAAGGAAGUAUGCUUUAGACAUCCUGGAAGAAACUGGUAUGUUAGACUGUAAACUGAUAGACAUACCUAUGGAUCCGAAUGUCAAACUUGUACCAAGACAGGGGGAGCCUUUAGGAGACCCUGGGAGAUAUCGACGGCUCGUAGGUAAAUUAAACUAUCUCACCAUUACUCGUCCAGACAUUUCUUUUCCUAUGAGUGUUGUUAGUCAAUUCCUACAGUCACCAUGUGAUAGCCAUUGGGAUGUCGUAAUCCGCAUUCUUCGAUAUAUCAAAAGUACACCAGGGCAAGGUGUGUUGUACGAGAACAGAGAUCAUACUCAAGUUGUUGGUUACACAAAUGCAGAUUGGGCUGGCUCACCCACAGAUAAACUUUCCACUUCAGGGUACUGUGUUUUUAUUGGAGGUAAUCUAAUAUCUUGGAAGAGUAAGAAACAAGAUGUAGUGGCCAGAUCUAGUGCUGAAGCUGAGUAUCGAGCUAUGGUUUUGGCAACAUGUGAACUCAUAUGGUUGAGACAUCUUCUUCGAGAGUUGAGAUUUGGAAAGGAUGAACAGAUGAAACUCAUCUGUGAUAACCAGGCCGCAUUACAUAUUGCAUCCAAUCCAGUCUUUCAUGAAAGGACCAAACAUAUUGAAGUUAACUGUCACUUCAUUAAAGAGAAGAUCGCAUCAAGAUGUGUUGCUACAAGUUUUGUUAAUUCAAAUGAUCAACUAGCAGACAUCUUCACUAAAUCUCUCAGAGAUCCUAGGAUUAAAUAUAUCCGUAACAAGUUUGGUGCAUAUGACGUAUAUGCUCCAGCUUGAGGGGGAGUGUUGAAUAUAAUGAAUUUAUAGUGUACAAUCUUUCCUUUUUUUAAUAUAGGUCACAUGUAUGGUAGUUAGGACUCCUAGCCUUGUAUAUAUAUAUUUUUUCAAUUGUAAGUAGACACUACAUGAAUGAGAAUCAAGGUUUUCUUCUCUCUCUCUUUUAACAAAAGGUAUACACGAUGUAUAUUAAGGAUGAAAAAAGGCUAAAAAACAAGGCGAGAGAUAUAUAAAAACAACAACCAUGCCUUACUUAGAGCUUAACUACUCCACAAAAUUCAUCAUGGACAAAAAGUAACCACCUAAAGACACUCUAACCCAUUCCAACAAAAUAUACAUAAACGAUUGUUUAAUUGGUUGAUCAACUUUUUCAAAAUUAUUAAAAGCUCUUCUAUUUUUCUCCAUACAGAAUAAGCACAAAGGAGCAACUUUUUAAACCUAUUUUCUUUUCUUUCCAACAAAGAACCCAUGCCAACUCAAAAAGACACAUAUCAUUGAAGAAUGCAUCACCCACUAAACUCCAAGCAUGGCAUAAAUCAAAUACCAUAGAAUGACUUAUUUCAAACAAUGAAAGAGGAUGUGUUCAAUUGUUUCUUCUUCUCUUUGCACAUGUGGCAUUUGUUUAGAAUCCUCCAAUCCUUCCUUUUGAGUGGAUCCAAAGUUAGUACCUUGCCCCACAUAGCUUCUCAUGCAAGGAAACUAACCCUUGAUGGUACCCAAGAAUUCCAAACUAUAUUAAAGGAAAUGUCUGCACCCUCCCAUAUGAUUAAAAGGAAUAGAAAGACUCGAUUGAGAAAUUGUCACUCUUCUUCAAUCAAACCAAAUUAUCUUCAAUGUCCCCACUAAUGUCCACUCUUGCAACCUCUCAAAGAAGACUUCCACCUCCAACUCUCAACGGUUAAUUUGUCUUGUAAACGUAGGGUUCAAACUAUCCCCCUCACGGGAGUGUCCCUAUACCACCUAUCCUUCCAAAAAUUCACCUUACUCCCACUUCCCACCCUCAAGUCGAUUUUACUCUUGAAGGCCUCCCACUCACUCUCAAUCGUCUUCCAAACUUCCACUCCCUCACUCCUCUAAAGCAGCAACCCCCCUCUUGCUCCCCAUAUUUCACUAGAAUCACAUGUUUCCAAAGACAAUUCUUUUUAAUCACGAAUCUCAAUGCCCUUUUUUGAGAAGAGCCUCAUUAGAGUAGACAAGUUUCUAAUACCCAAACCCCCACUCCUCUAAUCCACACAAACUAUAUUCCAAUUCACCAAAUGUAGCUUUCUCUUCAAGGCUCCUCCCUCCCAAAGAAAAUCUCUUUAGACCUUUUCCAAUCUACCACUUACCUUUUUUCAUAAUGAAAAAAAAAAAAACCAGGUAUGAAGAAAAUGGCAAGUUGCAUAAGUGCUUUUUAUCAUAUUUUAACUUUCCUCCUUUUGGAAGGUACUAUCUUUUCCAUGUAGCAAGUCUUAUCUAAAAUCUUUCUUCCACCCCAUCCCAAACCUAAGAAGACCUAAAAGGGGCUCCAAAUGGGUGGCCCAAAUAAGUGGUGGGCAGAUUGAUAGCUCCUCCAUAGUUGUGACUCCCUAGUUAAGAUGAGCUUUUUUUUUUUUAGAUUGAUCUUUAACCUUGAUAUUGCCUCAAACCACAUGAACGCCCAAUUGAAAUGCUCUAUGUGCUCCUUCCAAGCAUCAUAAAGACCAAGUGUCAUCAACAAAUAACAGGUGGGAGAUUUCUGUCACCACACCUCCUCUUCCCCUAACUGAGAACCAUUUGAUAAGACCUCAUUUCUUUGCCUUGAUAAGGAUGUAGAAAAGAGCCUCCAUGGCCAUGAUGAAAAGGUAAGAGGACCAACAAUCACCUUGUCUUAAACCUUUAAAACUCCAAGAAAAAACAGAGGGAGUCCCAUUCAUCAAAUUAGAGAAGUGCAUCAUAGAGAUGCCAUUUGAUCCAACUAAAACACUUGGAACCAAAACCCAUUUUUUUUCAAAAAAUGCUAAUACAAAACCUCAAUUGGCAUCAUAUGCCUUCUCAAUGUCCAGCUUACAAAUAACCCCAAUUGGCUAGCCAUAUAGCUGCAAUGGAUGUAUGUUCGUCUAGUAUGAUGCUUCUAGCCUAGAGGUUUUUAACAAAGAACUCAUGCCUACUAUAAAGAGUAUCUCUGAUUUUUGUAUAGGGUUUUUUAUGGUUUUUGUCAAGCUAAUCAUCCUCUUUGUUUUGGAUUUUUAGCCUUGUUAGAUCUACAAAUCCUUGAUUUGAUAUCUUCUUGUGAUUUGAGGUCAUCUUACCAAGCUUAAUUUUUUAUUAAAAUCAAUAGGAUUAAUUCAUAAUCAUCCUGUUAGGAUUGAUCAAAACUAGUCCAUUAUGAAUCAUCCUCCAUAUACUUUUGAUUAACAACAUUGUAAAAUUGUGUUUUAAGAAGAUAAAUUUACCUUUGAAUGGAGGUUUAUAUGAUGACAUCAACAAAGUAUUGCUAUGCACAUAUGCAUGUGUUGGGUGAGCGUACAUCUCUAGGUGUCGGAUCCUUUGCAUCCCAAAGUCUUAGGACACAAGGAUUCGGCUAAAAAUAAUUUCAACUAUGGGUGUGAGUACUUGGAUACCACAUUAAUAAAAAAUAAUUAACUCCAAAUAUAAACACACUUUAAUAAGUUGUCUAUAAUAGUACAUAGUUAAUUGCAGUAAGAAAAUUUAUUUAUAAUAUCUUUUCAAUGAUGCUAAGCGUGAUUUCACUUUGAUGUUACUGCUAGUUGUACAUAAAGAACCUAUUUAUUAUAGGUCUAAAUAGGUCUUUUAUUUUAAAAGAUUGUUGAAAAAUAUCUUUAAGAAUAUUAGACCUAAAAUAUUUUAAAACUUUAAAAAAGUGUAUUAACUUUGUAAAUAUUGAUAAAAUAUAAUUGAUGUUAAUUUCUUCUCAUGUGUUUUAUAUUAAUUUCUCCAAUUCAUCUCUAAAUUUUUUAAGAUAUUAAUUUUGAUAUUUAUCUUUAUAUUUUUCAUGCUAUUAAUUAUUAUAAUUAUAUUCAAAUUUUAUAUGACAUUAAUUAUCAUAUUUAUAUUUGAAUUUUAUCUAUUAUAAUUUUAAAAAAUUAAAAAAGUGAUAAAACACUUCUUCAACUAUAAAAAUUAAAAAUUAGUUACAAAUUUAUUUAUUUUUUAUGACAAUUUAUUUUAUACUAUUAUUUGGUAUAAUUUUAAAAAAUUAAGAAAGAAAUAAAAGAGAGAUAGUUGUAUAAGAUGCAAUAUAAGCACAAUUUAUAAAAAAAUAAAGAAGAGAUAAAGCAGUCAUAGGCUAAAUGGUUGUGCCCAAUGCAAUAGAAACAUAUCUGAUGCAGAUAUUACACUUGCACUCAUGUUGUAUCAUGUUGAUAUAGUUAGUUUGAUGAAAUUAACAUGUUCAUAUAUCAUAGUCUAUGUACAUACAUACAUACAUAUAUAUGAUCACUGGCAUAGCACAAAAUCCAAUAGUAGCCCAUUCCAACUUGUAGGUUCAAUUCAGGUUUAAUAUCAAAACACUAGACAAAGGACAACUAUUUUUUUUAUUUUUUAUUUAUUGGAAACGACACAAAGAUUUAUUAUAGUUGUCCUUUGUUUUUUUUAGACAAAGGACAACUAUAAAAACCCAAACAACUUACUCUUUAGGAGUUCAUCAUACUUCUCAACUUCAAAAGCUUCACUGUUGAAAUAUUUCACAGUCUGAAAUUAGAACAUUUAAGUGAGUGGAAGUUAUAUAAAGAAUAUUAGCUAGGAAAAGGAAAGGCAUCGACAUUAACUAGAAAGAAAGCCUUUAUAAGAGAUAUAUUGAAACCUCAUAAUUGAUAAGUGAAUCAAUUGCCCUUGUACUUGCAUCAUUAUCGGCUUUAUUCAUGAUCUUCCUAAAUUUAGUUCUCCACUGGAAAAGAUAAAGUUAAUGUGAGAAGUGAAAAACCUAAAAUUCUCACCAUUUUAAAGUGAGGAAAAGUACAAAACCCAACAACAAGAAGAGAAGAAAAAUAGCUAGAAACUUUCAGCCAGCAUGAUUUCCAGUAAGAAAAGAGAAUGACUCAAUAAAUUACUAAACAGAUCAUUGCAGCAGCAUCUGUGACAUGAAUAAUAAAUGAUAAAGGAAACAAUGCAUAUCAUUUCUAUUGAGAGAGAGAGAAAGAAGAAAAACCUUAAUUCUCAUUGAUAUGUUAACUUACAAUUGAGCAAUAUAUAUAUACAAGGCUAGGAGUCCUAACUACCAUACAUGUGACCUAUAUUAACAAGGAAAGCUUAUAUACUAUAAAUACAUUAUAUUCAACACUCCCCCUCAAGCUGGAGCAUAUACGUCAUAUGCACCAAGCUUGUUACAAAUAUAUUUAAUCCUAGGACCUCUGAGAGAUUUAGUGAAGAUGUCUGCUAGUUGAUCAUUUGAAUUAACAAAACUUGUAGCAACACAUCCUGAUUCGAUCUUCUCUUUAAUGAAAUGACAGUCAACUUCAAUGUGCUUGGUCCUUUCAUGAAAGACUGGAUUGGAUGCAAUAUGUAAUGCGGCCUGGUUAUCACAGAUGAGUUUCAUCUGUUCAUCCUUUCCAAAUCUCAACUCUCGAAGAAGAUGUCUCAACCAUAUGAGUUCACAUGUUGCCAAAGCCAUAGCUCGAUACUCGGCUUCAGCGCUAGAUCUGGCCACUACAUCUUGUUUCUUACUCUUCCAAGAUAUUAGAUUACCUCCAAUAAAAACACAGUACCCUGAAGUGGAACGUCUAUCUGUGGGUGAGCCAGCCCAAUCUGCAUCUGUGUAACCAACAACCUGAGUAUGACCUCUGUUCUCGUACAACACACCUUGGCUUGGUGUACUUUUGAUAUAUCGAAGAAUGCGGAUUACGGCAUCCCAAUGGCUAUCACAUGAUGACGGUAGGAAUUGACUAACAACACUCACAGGAAAAGAAAUGUCUGGACGAGUAAUGGUGAGAUAGUUCAAUUUACCUACGAGCCGUCGAUAUCUCCCGGGGUCUCCUAAAGGCUCCCCCUGUCCUGGUACAAGUUUGACAUUCGGAUCCAUAGGUGUGUCUACCGGUUUAUAGUCUAACAUACCGGUUUCUUCCAGGAUGUCUAAAGCAUACUUCCUUUGGGAAAGGAGCACACCAGAACUGGAUUGAGCUAUCUCAAUUCCCAAGAAAUACUUGAGUUUCCCCAAGUCUUUGGUCUGAAAGUGGGUAAAAAGAUGUUGCUUUAGUUUCUGAAUACCAUCCUGAUCACUACCUAUAAUGACGAUGUCGUCCACAUAAACAACCAGAUAAAUACACUGCCCCAAGGAGUUAUGAUGAUAGAAAACUGAAUGGUCUGAUGUACUGCGAAGCAUGCCAAACUCUUGAACAACAGAACUAAAACGGCCAAACCAUGCUCGAGGAGAUUGUUUCAAGCCAUAUAGAGAACGGCGUAACCUGCACACUAAACCAGACUCCCCCUAAGCAACAAAACCAGGAGGUUGCUCCAUAUAAACUUCCUCGGCAAGAUCACCAUGAAGGAAGGCAUUUUUAAUAUCCAACUGAUAAAGAGGCCAAGAACACAUAGCAGCCAUGGAGAGAAGCAGACGGACAAAAGCAAUCUUGGCAACAGGGGAGAAUGUGUCACCAUAAUCAGAACCAUAAACCUGAGUAUAGCCUUUAGCAACUAAGCGGGCCUUAAGGCGAUCAACCUGACCAUCAGGACCAACCUUAACUGCGUAGACCCAACGACAGUCAACGGUAGAUUUACCAGAGGGUAAAACAACAAGAUCCCAAGUGUCAUUAGAGUGCAGAGCAGCCAUUUCAUCCACCAUUGCCUGUCGCCAGCCUAGAUGGGAAAGAGCUUCAUGGGUGCUCUUUGGAAGAGAAACAGAGGAUAUAGCAGAAACAAAAGCAAAUUAGGGUGAAGAUAAUCGAUGAUAACUCAAAAAAUUGUAAAUAGGAUGAGGAUUACGAGUAGAGCGAGUACCUUUCCGAACAGCAAUGGGUAAGUCAUUAGGAGAAGGCAGAGUCGGGGCAGGUGAAGCCGAAGGGAUAGGAAGUGAGUCAGCAGGUGCCUCAGCAAAAGGGAGAGGAGCAACGACACGAGGACGACGAUGAUAAACCUGAAGUGGUCGAGGAGGCAUAGCAUCAGGUGGGGAGACAAUGGGAAUGGGCAAGACUUCAGAAACAGGAAGAGACUCAGAAGUGGUGGAAAAGAAUGGUGAGUCCUCAAAGAAGGUGACAUCAGCGGAGAUAAAGUAUCGAUGAGUCUCAAGGGAAUAACAACGAUAACCCUUUUGAAGUCUAGAAUAUCCCAAGAAGAGGCACUUCAUGGCUUUGGCGGAAAGCUUGUCCUGUCCAGGAGUGAGAAUAUGAACAAAGCAAGUACAACCAAAGACACGAGGAGGAAGGAAAUAAAGUGGUUGGUCAGGGAAGAGAAGGGAGUGAGGAAUCUGAUCGUGUAAGACAGAGGAGGGCAUACGAUUAAUCAAAUAACAAGCGGUAAGAACAGCGUCCCCCCAAAAACGAAAAGGAACAUUACUAUGGAGGAGGAUAGUACGAGCUGUCUCAACAAGAUGUCGAUUCUUGCGUUCAACUACCCCAUUUUGUUAAGGAGUAUGAGCACAAGAAGACUGAUGAAGAAUCCCAUGAUGAGACAUAAACGAAGUAAAUGGGGCAGAAAAAUAUUCUCUGGCAUUGUCACUGCGUAACACACGAAUAGAAACAUUGAAUUGGGUUUGGAUUUCAGCAUAAAAUUUCUAGAAAAUAGAGAAUAACUCAGCUCGAUUUUUCAUUAAAAAUAACCAAGUACAUCGAGAAUAGUCAUCAAUGAAAGUGACAAAAUACUGAAAUCCUAAAGUAGACACAGUCCGACAAGGACCCCAAACAUCAGUGUGGACAAGCUCAAAAGGAGACUUUGCCCGAUUAUUCAAACGCUUUGGGAACGAGACACGAGUAUGUUUCCCAAGCUGACAUGACUCACACGGAAGCGACGACAAAGUGGAAAAACGAGGGACCAUCUUCUGGAACUUGGAGAGACUAUGGUGGCCCAGACGAUUGUGAAUGAGGAGAGGAGCAUCAGUGGAAAUGCAAACUGCAGGAGAUGAAUCCGAGGUGAGGUGAUAGAGGCCUUGAGACUCACGUCCUAUGCCAAUCGUCUUCCCCGUACUCCGGUCCUGCAAGGUCACAAAUUUAUCAGAAAAGGUAAUAGAGCAAUUAAGAGUACGAGUGAUUUUGCUGAUGGAAAUAAGAUUAAAAGGACAUUCAGGAGUAUAAAGGACAGAAGUGAGAGGUAGAGAAGGCAGAGGAAGGGUCAAACCAAUACCUUUAGCCACAGUUUGAGAACCAUUAGCUAAGGUAACAUUAGGUAAAGCAGAGGUAGUAGUAAUAGAGGAGAAAAGAUCCUUAUUACCAGAUAGGUGAUCAGAAGCUCCAGAAUCUAGAAUCCAGGGUCCAAGAGAAGAUGUGUGGGUAAGGCAGGCAGAGACAUUACCAGGCUGGGCAACAGAGGCAACAGAAGCCUGAGAUGCGGAAGAGCUCGGAGGCUGAGGCAGCGGAGAAUCAGAGGACUGGGCCACAUGGGCAGUGCGAGGAGGUCGUCCAUGUAACUGAUAGCAACGAUCGCGAGUGUGGCCAAGUUUAUUGCAAUAGGUGCAAUGAGGAUGUUGACCUCUACCUCGGGUACCACUGCGGCCUCCUCGAGAGCUAGUUUGAGAAACUAACACAGAGGAAUCUGAAGUGCUAUCAAAUGGCAAAGUCUGAGUGGAGGAGAUACGGAGGAGGCGAGCAAACACAUCAUCCAAGGACGGAACUGAUGAACUACCAAGAAUCUGAUCGCGGACAGGCUCAAGAUCCGGACGAAGGCCAAUAAGAGUAAGAACCAUGAAGAACUUGUCAAGCUGUGUUUGUUGAGCCCCAACAUCAGGAGUAAGAGGCAUCACAGUCAAGAACUCCUCCUUAAGAGAGGCAAUCUGACCAAUAUAAGUAGAUAGAUCCAAGUCUUGUUGGCUGAUAUGGACAAUAGCAGAAGCCACCUUAUAAAGACGCUGGAUAUCAUUCGUGUAUAAUCCUUUGGCCUGAGUCCAAAAUUAAAACAAGUUUUGUAGGCCCGAAGAUGAAGAAGAAUCUUGGGAUCAACCGAUUGCCAUAAUACACUACAUAACUGUGCAUCUAUCUUCCUCCACUGUACGCGGUCAACCUCAGGGAUAUCUGCCUCUUGGGUAACCAAGUGAUCCUCAUAUCCUUGACCCAUAAACCAAAGUUCAACAGAGGCAGACCAGGAAAGAUAAUUUUCACUGCCAACUAAUUUCUCCGAAGUAAUCAUAGGAGAUCCAGACAUGACAGAGGAAAAAAUGGAAGCUUUAGUAGCCAUAUCCACUUAUCUGGAGAAUGAAGUAUGUUUGGAUCGAAGAGAGCCCUAAUACGGCUUCAGAUUGUGGCGUGGCACCACCGAAAAAAGGAGACGGCCUCAGAUCACGGCGUGGUACCACCAGAAAGGUAGAAGAACACUUCCCAAGGCACGUGCAGGGAUUGGAGUGGAGAAAAAGUAGUCGGAGCUUCGCCGGAAAGACUGUUUGGAGGGUCGACGGAGACAAAAAUCCCCAAAAGAGGUACGUGCAGGGCUCGGAUGGGAAAACCAGGGAGGUAGGGAGGCUGGUCGACAUCAGGCGAAGCUGGAGGAGGAGGCGCGUCGCCAGAAAAUGCCUCACGCGCCCUCACGGGCCGGCGCGUGAGAUGCAGCCGCCGGCCGGAAAAUGGCGCGUGGCCGGCGCGUGGAUGCUCUUUUGGUGCUGGUGCCUUCACAAAAGUUGGAGAUCUCCUCCAGGCGCUCCUUCUGGUAUGGUCGGUGUCGGAAAAAUAGGUUGCCGGAAAAGUUCGCCGGAAAAUUUCGCCGGCGGUGAGUGGUUUCUAACGACGUUCUGACUGACCGGAAAGUAUUGGGAGAUGGGGAAGGUGACCGGAAUGAAACACGGUCACCGGAAGGUUUCCCGGAGUUGAUGACACGGGAAACAGGAAAGAAUUAGGUUUUCUUCCUUGGCUCUGAUACCAUGUUGAGAGAGAGAGAAAGAAGAAAAACCUUAAUUCUCAUUGAUAUGUUAACUUACAAUUGAGCAAUAUAUAUAUACAAGGCUAGGAGUCCUAACUACCAUACAUGUGACCUAUAUUAACAAGGAAAGCUUAUAUACUAUAAAUACAUUAUAUUCAACAAUUUCAUUCACAAGAACUGCUAGUGAUGUUGAAAAGAAAUUGACAAGAGCUAUCAUACCUGUGUUACAGCUAAUGUGAAAGCAACAUAUGCAGCAACUGAUAGCGAAGUUAUCCAUGCAAAAGAUGCUCCGAAUUUGUAUGCUAGAAUACCUGCUACCAUCGAAAUCUGGAAGGAUAUGUGUUAAAUAUGUUGAAACUAUUCAGAGACAAAGAAUCAAAAGCAAGGAUAGAAAUGUCAUCAUACCAAAGAUGCCAAAUGAAAUAACAAUACAGAAUAUCAAAUAGCAAUAUAGCAUCAUGUAGGAGUAAAGAAUCUAGGAAUGAUAUUCUUGAUGUUAAGAAUCUCAUAUUAAACAAGCAAAUACAGUCGUACCUCUAAGAUGGUAGGUACAAUAUUGAAUACCAUUGAUGAGAGAAUAAAGUUAAUUGCACGGCUACCCCGAUCAAUUAUUCGAUUUAGUGCACCUGUCUCUCGACUAGAAACACAAAGCCCAAGCAAGAAACAAAAGCAAAGAUAAGUAAAUGAACUGUUAAAAAGGCAAAUAUGAUGAUCUUAAGCAUCAAUAUUAGAUAUGUAUCAUCAUUUUAUGCAUCACACUAAAUUGACCCAAUACGAUGGCCAAAUGAAAAUUCACUAGUAAACUGUCCUCUCAUCAAUUUGUACAAAUGAUGCUAGAAACAUAUAAAGUGAUAAUAUAAGUGCAGAUCAUCUGAUAUUACUCAUUCAUAUAUCCAGUUAUUAAUUGAAAAUAACAAGAUAGAAGUUUUCAAACAAGGUGUCAAGAAUUAUCCCAAUCAACUAGGUUUUGACACGAAGCUCCAACAAGCCCCAUCUAAUACCAGGUCCAGGGUAGCAUCCCCUUUCUUGAUGUUUCCAAUAUUGUCUAUUAAAUAAUAAUAAUAAUCAUCAUCAAUGGUGGGUCCAGUUACACUUCAUUCAAGCCCCAUGUAUCCAGUAACAGUGCUUAGAUUAAGACUCAGAAUUAUGCUCAAAAUUUGAAGGAUUCAUGUCAAGUACAUGCACUUGAAACAACCAAACAAAGUUAAGGAUAAUAUCAUAAUGGCUCUAAAAGAUACUAAGAGAUUGUACCAGAGAUACUCAAUCUGGUUAGAUCUAUGUUAGCUUGGGUAAUCUUGCCGAUUAUGAGGAUUAGCAGAAGCAGUCUAACAAUUUUCUUCCUUCAAAGCCUACACAGCCAUGUAAUCUCCAAGAUAUACAUCAAGAAAAGGAAUCAAUGUUAUUUGAAAUUAAAUUAAGAUUAGUAUUUGUUGGAGUUAAAUUACGAGUAGCUAAUUAUUAGAGUCAUACUAGGCUAUAGGAGGAUUAGAAUUGAAGUCACAAUAGGUUAUUAGAAUCCUAUUAGAACUUGGAUUUCUUAAAAAAUCCUAUAAAUAAAGUUAAUUGAUGUAAACCAUGAUAGAAUGAUUAAAUAAUAUUAGUUUUUUUAAUUAGAAAACAAAGGAUGUAUUAAUUAUAAAAAUUUAAAAUAAAAUAAAAUAACAUGAGAAGGAUGAGGAGUCCUCCCCACAAUCAAAAAUGAUUGAACGCCUCCACUAUACAAGGAGGCUUAUACAAACAGGUUAAAUCCACAUAAGAAUAUAUAAGGAUGUUGUUUCCUUAAACCUUCACUAAGCUCCUCUUAAUGUUUCCUCAUCCUUUUUUAUGAAUGUCAAUUAAGUUGAAUAACAUUAAGAGGAAUGCCUUUAAAAGCAUCGGUACAAGAGGCCUAAAAAGAGGAACGUCUUUGAUGACCUCCACUUAUCCUCAUAGAUUCUAAGAUUUCUCUCUCUUCACACAAUCUAAAGUAAAAUGAGACAAUUGAUUUGCCAAAGGGUCUUUCCAUUAAUGGAUCUCCCCAAACCCCCUAUAUGAAAUUAUCAUCAUGUUGCACAUGCUCCUUGGUGGAACCCAAUCCAACCUAGUUUGUUUGAAUACACUCUACUAGAGCUCCAAAGUGAGCAAACAAUGUAGAAGAGAGGGUCAAUUGACUCCCCACUCCUCAUAUAUAAACCAAACCAAUUAGGACAAGGGAUUUCUAAGGUCUUCUCAACUAUCCAAUGUUGCUAGUAUUUACCUAUGAGUGUGCCACUAGCUAAGAAAAAGCCUUAGCUUUAGAUGGAGCUUUAGAUUUUCAAAUAAAUUUGGUUGGAGAAAAAAGGAUUGGAUUUGAUGUACUGAACAAAGCCAUUAAGAAUUAUUUGACUAAGAAUAAGCCUAAAGAGGUCUAUGACCAGGAUCUAACAUCUGGAAUUGUUGGAAACAAAUGCACUUAAGAGAUGAGAUGAGUUUUUUUAGGUCCUCGAUCUCUAUGCCAGUGAGGUUGACAUGAGUCUUUCUACAACUAUUGCAAUUCUCAAUGGGGAGAUUCCACUUAUUAUCUUUUAGGUGAGAUUCUAAAUUCUCUUUCUUCUUCCUCUUAUCCUAUUUCACUAUAUUUUUAUUUUUAUUUUUUUCCGCUACCAUAUACUUUAUCACUUGUUCCUCUCCUUGAAACCUAGAAGAUAAAAAUCCUACCCCACCAACUUAGUUUUAGACAAUCAUUCGAGAGUUGUCCUACAAUUAUUGGUAUCAAAGUGAAAGUUCUUGACUUGAAGAUACUACUUGAGGAGUAGAGCAAUUCAUUCAACCAUGAUUAAAGACUACAAUUUCUUUAUGCAACCACUUGUGAACAUACCAAGGGCAAAUGAAAAGAAAGAUUGACAAUGCACUAACAUCUUCCAAACACAUGUUGGUUGCUAAGGGAGAUUAUGCACUAUGACUAUUGAUAGAGGUAGUAAUUCUAACUUAGUUAUUUAUGGAACAUGCUGAGAAAGUUAACCUAAAAAAAAAAAAAGCCAAAGGAGCAUCCAAAUCCCUAUCAAAUAGCAUGGGUAAAUGAAACAUCUAUUUGAUGCAUUCUCAUUGUCUAGUAACUUUUAACUUUAGAAAUAAUUUUAAGUUAUCAAUAUGAUGUGAUGUUCUUCCAAUGGAAGUUAUCCAUAUUGUGCUUAGAAGAUCAUGGCUUUUUUACAAGAACACUUAUACACUUGUGCAUGAUGGGCAUAAGAAGAUCCUUUGUCCAAUAAAAGAAAUUCCACCACUUAAGCAUCCAGGUAAAAUAUUAGCAUCCUUAAAACCAGAAGUAUCGUCAAAUACUCCCAUAAGAAGCAAUUCAAAGUGAGGAGGAAGAAAUUGUCAGUGACAAAUAUAGAAUGUAAAAGAUUAUGGAAUCGAUUCUAGAACAACUUAUAGGAGAGCUUAAAGAAGUUGCAAAAGCUUUAGAGGAACUGGUGUUCAACUUACCAAGGCAAAACAUUAUUAUGAUUGGUGGGAAACAUGAAGAAUUCUAUGUUGGUUUAAUAGGAAUUACUAGAAUUUCUUUUGAAUUUAAGGAAUUCAAGAAUCUUAUUGUUCUGUAAUAUAGAUUACAAAAGGGGUAUAGGAAGCAACUUGUCACAAGCUUGUUGAUGACCAAAUUAUUUCAAGAAGUAUCAACCUAUUUCACAAUAGUGGAAAAUCUUUGGAAGUUUAGUACUUGCCUCACAUGAAAUUGAACAAGUUCAAGAGAUCUCGCGACCCUAUCUUAACAUGGUAAAGAGUAAAUGAAGAAAGAAACGGUGGAAGGCAUUGUUCGAGAUGUAAUUGAGUAUGGAAAAUCACUAAAACUGGAAGGCGAGUUUUUUUCCAAGUUAUAGGGAAUUAAUAAGGAUAAAUCUCCAAGAUAUACAUCAAGAAACAAAAUUAGUAUUAGUUGGAAUUAAAUUAAGAUUAAUAUUUACAGAAGUUAAAUUAUGAGUGGCUAAUAAUUAUAGCCAUACUGGGCAUGUUAGGUACGUGGGAAUGAGGACUGGGAAUGAGCAUCUCAUUCUUUUUCUCCUUCAUUCCCAUGUUUAAAUAACUUAAAUGAUGAUAGGAAUGGAAAAUGAAAUCCUACUUAUAAGGAGGAUUUCAAUUCAUCCCAACUAUGAGGUAUUUGAUUCCCUAGUGCAAGUAAUUUUUAAAAAUACUUUUCAAAAUUAAAAACCUAAAGACUUUUUUAGAUAAGUUGUAUUUAAAAAUAGCUUUUUAUUUUAAUUUUGUUAAAAAGAAAAAUUGUAAAUUCAAUUUAUACAAUGUAAACUAAAUUUAAUUCACAUCUUAUUAGAAAUAAAAACAAUUUUUUAUUUACAAAUAAAUUUAAAAUAAAUAGUUUUUAAUAAAAUAUGAAUAUUAAUAAUAUAAUAAAAUCAUAACUUAUAUUUUUUAUAAAUAUUAUAAUAAUAUAGAUAUUAAAUUAAUUGAUUUAUUUUGUUAAAAAUAAAGAAUAAUAAUUCAAAAUUAAUAAUUUCUAAUUCUAUUUAUAUGAUUUUAUAAAUAUUAUAAAAUUAUGGAUAUUAACAUCUUAUAAAAGCAUAAUUAAUUAUUUUUAAAAAAAUAAAGAAUAACUAUUCAAAAUUAACAAUUGCUAAUACUAUUCUAUUUUAAAUGAAUACGAAAACAAACAAAAUUUAAUUUUUUUAAGGUAUAAAUGAGCCAAAUUUUUCAUUAUAUAUGUACAUUCAUUACUCAAUUACGAAGAUGGCAUUUUGAAUUAUUUUAUUUAAUCUCUAAUUAAUUAAUCAUUUUUUCGAAUUUCAAAUUAGUCUUAAAAAUUACAAGAUUUAUUAAAGAAUUUAAAGCAUUAAUUAUGUCUAUUAUUUUUUCAUAGUCAUUAUAUAUAUUCUUAGAGUCUUAAAUUAUUUUUUAAAAUUAUUAAACUUAUUAAUAAAUUCAAUAUAAAGUCUCACUUGAUUUGAAAUUCAUUUCUCUAAUGAAAAAAAAAAAUCACAAAAAUAGUUUUCUAUUUUACUUUGUUUUUAAAAACUGUUUCUAAAGAACAUCAACCAAACAUUGAUAUAAAUUUUUAAAAACAAUUUUGUUUUUAAAUCACACACCCAAAUAGAUUUUUAUUAUUUUGCCAAAAAAAAAAAAAAAAACUCUCAAGGAUUUUUUUUUUAAAUGAAAACAAAAAAUUAUUUCAAACUAUGUACAAUGUCAGAUUUUUUAAAUAAAAAUAAAAAAAUAUUUUAAAUUUCUAAUUUUACAUUCCUAUAUGCAUCCAAGCACAUGAAUUGAAAUUACUAAAUUCAUUCCUAUUCAAGGGGGAAUAGGAAUGGAAACAGAAUAUUCAUUCUCAUUCCUCAUUCCCGUGUACCAAACAUGUCAAAUAGUUAUAGGAGAAUUAAAAUUAAAGUCAUAAUAUGAUAUUAGAAUCCUAGGAGAAUUUGGACUUCCUAGAGAAACCUUAAUCAUAAAUAAAAGCUUAUAAAAGCUUAGAAUCCUAGUAGAAUUUGAAUUUCUUAUAAAAGCUUAUAAACAAGGUUAAUUAAAGUAAACCAAGAUAAAGUGAUUAAAUAAUCUUGUUUUCUUUUUUUCAAGUGUCUCAAUUCUCAAUGGUGGCACUGAAUUGAUUUUAUUCUAGGAGGGAGUACUAGAUGAUCUUAUUGAGAUUUUAAGGUUUCUAUUCCCUCUUUUUUUUCUCCUCUUUCUCUGUAUUUUUAUUUUAUUUUUUUCCACUAUCAUAAACUUUAUCCCUUGUUCCUUUCCUUAAAUCCUAAAAGAUAAAAACCCUAGCCCACAUACUUGAUUGUAGACAUUUAUUCGAGGGUAGUCCUACAUUAGCUCCUCUGCAAUCAUAAUUGCUGAAACAAGUCCUAAUAAAAAACAUAAUAAUAAUAAUUGAUCUCCUUCAAAGAUUAAUGCCCUCCCUCAGUUCAGUGUGUUUCUCUCCUUUGGCAGAUUCUAGAGCGUGGUCUUUGUCUUCAUCAGGCUUGUUUUCAGUGAAAUUUUUUUUCUUGGCCUUGUCAAAAGUCUCUAAUCCUGUUUUGUUCCUUCCGGCCAAGUUUUUGUGGAGUUCAAAAGUCCCUUCAAAGGUUAAGGCCCUCGCUUGGAUAGUAGCUCAUGGGAAGGUGAACACCAAUGAUAAGUUGCAAUUGAGAAGACCCUACAAGUCCCUUUAUCCUCAAUGGUGCAUUCUUUGCAAAGGAAAUGGAGAGUCGAUUGUUCACCUUUUUCUUCAUUGUCCUCUUACCAUUGGACUCUGGAACAAGUUGUUCAAGCUAGCUGGGUUGGAUUGGGUCCCUCCAAGGAGUUUUGAGGACAUGUUGGUUAUUGCUUUUAAAGGCUUGGGGAAUUCUUUAAGAGGCAAGACUCUUUGGCAAGUUGCUUGCCUUACUUUGGUUUGGAUAGUGUGGCAAGAGCAAAACAAUAGGAUUUUUGAGGAUAAGGGGAGAUCGGAAGAGACGUUAUGGGAUUUGAUUUUGUUUAAUUCCUCUCUUUGGGCUUCUUGUUCUGCAGCUUUUAGAGGAGUUCCUCUAAAUGUGUUACAACUCAACUGGAGUGAGGUUUGCGCUUCAAAAGUUUGAGUUUGUGGGGGCUUCUCUUUGGGGUUUCUCUUUGUUUUUAGCUAAUAUUGGGUGUUUUUUCUGUUGUUCAGUUUGUGUAGGAAGGACCUCUCAUCCUUCUAAGGGUUUCUUUUGUUUCUUUUUUCUUUUCUUUCUCCUGUAUCUUUCCUUCUAUUAAUAUAUUUCUCUUCGUUUCUUAUCAAAAAAAAAUAAUUGUUAAAAUAGGCUAACUAGCACAGCUCUCUAAUUUCCAAAUGAGGCAAAUAGAGUUGGCUUCAAGUGGUCUCUUGAAAAGCAAGUGUUGAUUGUUUUACAUAAUCUAAGCAAGGACAAGCAUCUAGUCUCGAUGGGAUAACUAUGGAUUUUUGAAAAUAGUGUUGGGAGAUGUCAGAGAGUAACUAAUGGUAAUUGUAAGGGAUUUAUCUACAAACAGAGGGAAAAAAAAACUUGAAGGUAACAUUAGAAAGGGUAGAGCAGAGGAUAUUUAAGACUUCAGGCCAAUGAGUUUUAUGGGUGUUUUGUAUAAACUUCUGUCCAAAAUUCUUGCUAAUAGACUCAGGAAGGUGGUUGAGAGACUUGUGGGGCAGAUUCAGAAUUGAUUUACAGAUGUUGGGUAUUGGUAAUGCAGUUAUUGCUAAUGAAACAACUGAUUCAAAAUUGAAGAGUUCAAUGACAGUUUUUGCUAGUAAUUUGGGCAUUGAAAAAGUUUAUAACACUAGAAGUUCGUGUUUUUUUAAGGUCAUUGAGAAAAAAAUUGAUUUUGGGCAAAAAUGAAUUGAUUGAAUAAGAUAUUCAUUUCUAUUAUCAGAUUUUCUUUAUUGGUUAAUUGGGUAACUAUUUUUUUCUUUUUUCUAGAGUUCACAAUGUCUUUAGACAAGGGGAUCUGCUCUCACCUUAACUACUUGUUAUGGUGAUGGAAGUCUUGAGUUGUCUCAUUCUAAAAGUGGUUGAUGGUGAUUAAAUCCAGAUCUUCAACAUGGGGAAAAGAAAACAAUAGUUUUCUUAUUCAAUUUUUGCUAGAUACCCUAUCAUUCUAAGAGAAGGAGGAUGGAUAGCUUAUGUACUUAAGAUCUCAUCAUAUCAUGAAGCUCCUGGUUUGAGAAUCAAGAUAAGGAAAAGGUGAAAUCAUUGUUGCACAUGAAAUAAAGGGUUGGGGAGGGUUUAUCAGAGGUUCCAAGUUCAAGACAAAAAUUUACCUAUCAAAAAAUUGUUGUAGGUGAAAUGGAGUAUGUCAAAGUAUGAGUUUUAGGAUUUCCUACCAAAAAAAAAAAAGUAUUAGCUUUAGGAUUUGGGUGUAGAGUGGAUCAGCUCCCAUCAGCCUAACUGUUGAUAAUGCUAGAUUAGUCCUUUAAAGCUAUAUUGAUUUGGAAAUCAGUGGCAGAACAUCUUUUAGAAAGAAUCACUCCCUGGAAAAGACAGUAUCUUUGUGGGGGAGAUUAACUUUCACUACAAGCACCAUUUCUAAACUGCCAGUGUACUUCAUGUCUUCACUUGUCACACCAAUAUUUGCUUCAGGCCAUGUUAGAGAAGAUUCAAAGAGAUCUUUUAUAGGGAGAAAACAUUGAAAGAAAAUCGCAUCCGGUGCACCUGGCAAGUGUAUGCUUUGUUAAGGAGAACAGAGUGUGGGUAUAUGCAGUUUAUUGACUCUAAAGGUUCUGGCAAUGGCUGGCAGAGAAGGGAACAUCAUUGUGGGAAAGUUUGAGAAGAAGAUGAUCAUUUGUGUUCUGGGUGGGAAGAAGAGCAACUAGGUAGAGCCUACAGAAAGCCAUUUGAGAAGGUGGAUGUCUUUUUAACGAAUUGUUUGUUUCUGAUAAAAAAACUGAUGCAGGUUUCAUCCACUAAUUAAUACAUGCAUAUCUUUUAGUACAAGAAAAUACAUGAAACAACAGACAUCUCUCAGAAAAUUUCCAGAAAGCUGAAGACAAGAUUUGUCCAAACAAUACCUCAGAUGAUACUGAAGAUCAAGAUCAUGCAAAUGCGAAAACACCUGCAGAAAUCAAAUAUUGUCAUAUAAGUUUUAAGAAGGGUACUAGAACACAGAACACUGGAGACACACACACAAAAAUACAUAGAUGCAUAUAACAGAAAGUAUUGGGGAAAGAAUGUAUUAGAAAAAAUUGCCAAGUAGUGCUCUUGGAUAUAAAUUUAAUCUGUAAAUGGAUGCUCUAUAGUGUUAUGCAAGCGUAUAACAAGUAUCAAUUGUCUUUCAUGGUUACUUAGUUAACAUUAAUUAGGUAAAUGAACGUUUUUCCUGUGGUCAACCCUCCCAAGGCUGUUGCAGUAUCAUUAACCUUUCUUCUUAAUCAAAAUAUUUUCCUCAUUCCAUUCCAUCUUCGUAUCAUAGCAUGGCACUAACAGGUUGAGCACCUUCAUUAACAGUGCACCCUCGAAAAGAACCUAGCAUUUGUUAAGCAGGUUGUAAAAGAAAAAAUCACAAUGUGUUCCAUUUAGGAGGCCUCAAUAAAAACCCAACCAUCGACCAUUUAGUCUUGCCGUCUUCAUAUCUUUUUUCAGGAUUUGAAAUAGAAAAUAAAUAAUUCAUGUAUCACUAUGGAAUUGUGAAUGGUAAAUUCUCCAUAAUCAUAAGCUGAAGGAAUUAGUUAACAAAGAGUAGAAAAAAGAAGAUACUAAUAAUAUAUUUUAAUUCAAGAGACAAAGGUGUAGAGUAAUAGCAGGUCAACCUGAACUCAACCCAUUUCCUAUUAAAAUGGCUACCAGACAUGGUAAAUUAUUUUAUACAGGAGAAAACCGACAUCUAGAACUCAUGAAUGACAAUGCUAGUCAGGAUCAGGGAUUGCCACCAAAGGAAUGAACUUAUACACACUGCAUAAUAAUUUUGUGGUCCUCAAACAGUUACUAAUUAAAACAAGGAGAUGAAACUAGCAAUUCCAUACCCUCCUGGAUACUGAUCGAAUUGUUCGCAAUGCCACCUUAGAGAACACAGCGGUCCGCAAUUCUGCCACAACAGAAUUUCACUUACCAUAAGAACGGAAAAAGGAGGAAUAUUUCUUUAAAAAAACUGCAGGAAGAAGCCUAUACUGCCAAGAGAAACAUUACCAAAAGGCAAAAAGGAGAAACUUGGUUUGGAAGUUGAAGAGAGAGAGAGGGAAAGGAAAAUGAUGAAGUAGGUCCGGAAUAGAAUUCGGAAGUCAGCAUUUUCAUCUCCUUUCUUCUGUUGUUCAUUAUGAGUUUCUAAACCUAACAUAACGAGUGUAGUUCAGAUGUAUAUAAUACCAUUAAAAGCAGAAGCCCCAGAACGAGCUAUCCCAUAUCCAACUAAAACAGCAGCUGGGCUCACAAAUAAAGCCAAAGCAGUUGAAUUAGCAGUAGUAAAGGAAGCAAGAGCAGUAGCAUUUCCAGUUGUGGUCGUUAACCAAUCAACAGCAAGCUUGAAUAAAAAAGGCACCUGGACAUUUAGAACCUGAAAGAGAAAAACACAAAUUCUGAAACUUUAAAGAAAAAAAAAUGAUUUUAAAUAAAGUGAAUGGUGUGAAAAGAGAAGGGCAUCAUGGGAAACAGACCUUAGCCCCAACCAAGAAACCCAAGGCCAUAAUCACCCUGAAACGGAAUUCCGGGUUGUCUUUCGACCAUAAGUACUUAGCAAGAGUGCGGAGGAUUUUCAUAUCAGCGGCAUGUUCAUCCGAAACAACUUUUGCUUGAUUUUUCUUUCCAACCUGUUUUGUUGCCGUUACAUCACCAGCAGUAGAUGUGGAGAAGAGUGCGUAUCCUUUGAGCGUCCAACUCUGUUCCUUUCAUUUCAAGUAUAAAAAAUCAUCAUCACCCUCUAGAGGAAUUCAGAUAUGAAGCAGAGGAAAAAAUAAUAAUAAUAAUGAGAUGAACUCACAGGGUGUCGGUGGUAAGGGGAAGGUGGUCGAUAGGAGGGAGGCGAAUCCGAUAGAAAGCUGUUCAAAUGUCUAAAAAAAUGGAUCCUUCUGGUGAUGUUGAGGUUGCGAGCGAUUCCCAAUUCUCUUCCAUUGCAGAUAUUGAUAGUUGAAUUAUUACGAUGAGAAUAGCGUAACAAAAAGCGCUUUGAAUUUCCCGAAAACAACCUUGAGCAAGAAGCAACGCCCGCCAUUGUUUCUGCAAUCUAAUCCACUGUAAAUAAAUCUGAAAACCCUAAUCCUAGUCUGGCCCUCCCCUCUGAUUUUUAUGUUUGAGGAUGGCGGUCUUCCUUAUUUUUUCUCUUUUUGGGUUAAUGCUGAUGAACUCUCUAGUAUUCUUAAGACCAAGUAUCUUGUCAGAAGCGCUUCUGUCGCCGUAUCAGACCUCUCUCUCUCUCUCUCUCUCUCUAUAUAUAUAUAUAUAUAUAUAUAUUUAGUCGGCCACUACCGAGAAUUCUAGCCCUAAAUAAGGGGAAACAAAAUAUUCCUUUAUAAUUAAGAGGCUGAAUUUGUGAUUUAGGAAAAGAAAAAAAUAUUAUCAUUUUAAAUUUUUCCAAGGACCCAAUGAACAAAAUUGGGUAAAAAAUGUGAGAAAAUUUCCAUUUUUCGAAGUUGCAGUGAAUAGUGCCUUGUUUGCAUGAGAACGUCUGUCCCAUUCAAUUUACUGUAAUACAUGGAGUGAAAAAACCUCAUGAUUCUGCUAAAUUUAAAUUGAAAUGGAAAUAUUUUGAGCUAUAGCACUGUUAGACAAGGUAUUUCUCAGUUUGAAUAGAAGCUUUUUGUCCCGAUAGAGGAGGGUAUUUUUUCAGAACCACAAAAAAUAAAUAAAAAGAGAGGAGAUGUAUAUUGGACAAAGACGGGAAAAAGGGUAAGAGUUGCUUAUCCCGUCUUCCCACCAUAGAGUCCUUGUCUCUCCCGGACCUUUGAAGAAUGGAAGCCGCGGCCUGCUUGCAGUAUAAGGCGCCAAGGGUGGUGGUGUCACCAAACAGGUGCGUGAUGAUGAACAGAAGCCUGAAUAUGGUGAUAGUGAAGAGGAGGAGUUCAUAUUCAGUAGUGAGGUGUAGUGGUGGUGGUGGAGGGGGGAUUGGAAUAGGCGACCUGGUAGGAGGAGAUUUGGUGAAAUUAGAUCUGGGGCGUUGGCUCUCGGACGUGGAAGAGCACAAAGCCCUGGCCAUAUACUCUCCCCACGAGGGAGGCUAUGAGGGUCGAUAUCUCAACAGGCUGAGGUACCAGGGCUACUAUUUCCUUGACCUCUCAGCUCGUGGCCUGGGUGAUCCUGAAACCACUCUCACUGAGAUUCACCCCGUUUGUCCUGUUAGUUUCUCCCCCACUCCCUCCGCUCCCCUCUAUCAUGCAUUUCCCCAUCCAUGCAAAAAGGCUGAAUUAUGCUCUCUUCUUCUUUUUCUCUUUGGCCUUGGCCGACUGUAGGCUCACGUUGGGAAGCAGCCCAUUGCAAGGUGGUAUUUUCCCCCAGAAGUGGACUAUAGGCUCUCUUUGCUGCCUCCAAACGCCAAGGGACUUGUGGUCUGGAUCAUUGAAGCCAAGGUAGGCACCCUACCACUCCCAUAACCAAUGCAGUUUAAGUUAACCCUUUGUUGAACUAUGCCUUCAUAUCCAGGUUCUCUCAAAGUCGGAAUUGCAGUUUCUUGCCUUGCUGCCCACCCUCCGUCCCAAGGUCAGGGUCAUUGCAGAAUGUGGAAACUGGUAAGACUGCCUCCUAGGAGAAAAUCUGCGUCAAAGAAUACUUAAUAAUCAUUGAUUUCUGUCAAAUGCACAGGAGAAAAUUCAUGUGGAAGCCACUCAAAGAGAUUGCCGCACUCACUGGGAACGAGGAUGCAUGAUGAUCCUAAUGCUAUGCCUCAAUCUGUCCUCAAGGUUUCUGAUGUAAUCCAAUUUUACCAAAUGGGUAGUGACAGUGACAGAUCUUCUAUACUGUACCGCAGAGGACCCAAAGUAUGGUAUAAAAUAAAAUUAUCUCUGCUCAUUGCUGUGGAAAACUGAACUCAAAGUCAGCUUGCGCCCAUAAACAGGAUUUUUUCGACUAAGAAGUUCUGUUGGCAAAAUAUUUGACAUUGUAUCCUUCAUACUAUAUAAUCAAUCAUCUACCAUUACAGCUUAUAUGCUUUAGCAACAGAAAGAUCAAUCGAAAGAUUUGAUGAAUGUGUUGCUUAUAUACAAUUGUGAGGUCAAGUCCUGAACCCAAUAGAAACUUACAUUUCCAACCAAAAAAGAAUGAGAUGAGAAAAGAAAUAUCAAACUUCUAGGAAAGGAUGAUAUAAUUGGUUAACAACAUCAUAAUACAAAAAUGGCCAGCAUCCGAUCCAACAAUGUAAACCAUGUCGGCACCUUGCUGCUUGCUGCAAUUUCUAUCCUGCAAUCCCCUCCUAUGUCAUAGCAGCUACCAAGCUUUCAAGUUGUACAUUGGUGAUGAUGUAUAAUUUUGAGAAAAGAAAGAAGAAAAAAAGAGGGAGACUCUACAACUGUCAACUAAAUUUUUCUCUUCCCACGCCUUCCAGUAUCUAAAUCAACUAGCCUUGAAGAUGAAGGAGCAGGAGAUGGGGUUAACAAACCAACAGAUUCCGGAAUGUCAAGACUGACCCUCAUGGAUGAGCCUGCAACUGCACGUUUGAUGUCAAGUUCAUGUAGUUGCCGAACUUCAAGUCUGACCUUUUCAAUCUGCCCAUGAAUAUGUAAAGAGAGAAUACCAAUAAGUGCAUGCAAAUCUGACAAUCAAUUUUCUGCAGGUUAGAUAUUUCUAAUUGAUCUUUCUCAUAACACCCAAUGCAUAAGCAUAAGAUGGAUGUCCUUACUAGUUCAAUGUGAUGAAUGGAUGAAUGAGCAUCUACAAGUCUCUUCUGCAGAUCAUCAGCCUUUCUCCUUUGAUAUUCAGAAUUCUCCAUUUCAUUUCCCCUCUCACCUAAUUCUUGAUACAAAGCUACAAGACAACAAAAAAUAACUAAAUAGCCCUGGUGAUAUGCAAAACUUAAUUCCAUCCAGAUUCAACGUAAUAAAGAAGCGGAAUAUCUUCUGAACACAGCCAGCCAGGCCAAGUUAACGAAGACAAUCAAUCUAUCAGAAAUUUGGCAGAAUGUUUCUAGAAUCAUGUUUGCUUUAGCACUCUGAUAGUUUUAAUCUGCUCUAAAAUGCUCUUUCUUAUGUUCUUUUUAUCCUCUUGUUUGUUUGAAGAGUUACAAAAAAAAAAAAAAUAUCACAGAUUUUACAUAGUUAUUGUGGAAUAUUAACAACUUGCUUACACCACAUAAGACCCAACCAAUUUGAACACAUUUUAAUACCACAUAUAGACCCAACCAAUUUAAAGCAUUUUUUUUUUCAAGAACAUUGCAAAGAGGUAUAUAUUUGUCACAUGUUAUCAAAUUCUUAUAGAGAUAGGUCAAGCAUGCAGACACCUCAAAUUUAAUGACAGUUUUCCCUAAAGACCUAUGCAAAGUAAUGACAUAAAAUAAGUAAUACUGUGAUUUAAGUAGAUAUUCUUUGUUGGUUUCCACUGUGGAUGGGGUAGUCCAACUCAGGUACACACUAUGCCAAAGACCUUUCUUUUGCUUUCCAGAAACCCAGAGUAAUCAAUGCAAACCUGUAUGUGUCUGGUUUACAGUAUGUCAUAAACAUUCUUUUUAUACUUAAAAAAUUAAAAAUUAAAACACACACACACAAGAGGUAAUAUGGGAUGACUUAUACCUGUCAAAACUGACAGUACCCAUAUCUGAGUUGGGAUGUCACAGAGCUUCUUAGCUAAUGUAAGGGAGGACCUCAGGAUCUCUCUUGCUUGUCCAGUGUCAUGCAAGGCAAGUGCCAAACUUCCAAGAAUGGUCAAAUACUGUGAAACAAGUUGAAGAUUCCCCAGGUGAUUAUGUGUGAUCUGCAAGCCAGUGGCCAGUCGAAUUCUGCAUCAAAGUUGUUACUUUGGAAUAAGGAGAGAAUGAAUGAGAAACACACACAUGCACGUAUGCACAGAUAAGUUCAAGCCUCUCAGUAAAUUGGUAAAUGCUGAAUUACAAACAUGUGAUCUACCAUACAUUUUGAUCCUGCUUAACUUCAAGAGACAGUUAAGAUGAACGAAAGCUCCCCAAUCAUUCACCAUACAGAUAUUGUGGAUACUAGAAAGGCAUCGCAGUUGUUUUAUUAUUUGUGUUUAUACCCACAAGUGGAAGAUGACUGCUACCAACUAAUUCAUUUUAUUAUGGUCACAAUCAGGUUGCCAUGUACUGUUUGAGGAUUCACGAUCUGGGUUGUCAUGUGCUGUUUGAGGUUUUCUUUACUUUUAUUGAACAAAGCAGUGGUAAUUACAAGUGAAAAGUGAAUGCUUAGAAAAGUUCUUUCGCCUGCUUUUUGGCUCUCUUUGUGUACUCCGUAUGUACUUGAUGUGCCUUUCUCUAUGCUUCUAAUCUAUUUGCUUAUUUACCUAUCAAAAAAAGUUCAACAACUACGCAAAUAUGCAUACAUAUAUAAACCAACACAAAGUACUUAAACAACACAACCCUUGAGGAGGAUAGAGAUCACCCUUAAUCACCUCAAAUGAGAGAGCCACCUUUUAGCCCAACUUCCACCUGUACAUUAACCAAUCUAGGAAACUUUUUUACAACAUUAAAAUCUCCAUUAAGUUUGGGGCUGAUAGGGUUGCAUUUGAAUGCGGGUUCCAACUCAUAAUUUUCAGAGGGCUGUACCAAAGUCCUAGGAUCGAUUUGUCUUCAUCAGGGCUGCAAAAGGAUUUCUCCAUGGAAGAGUAACACUCAUUUUGUAGCCCAUCAGGCCAAUUGUAAUAGAUAACCAACACUAGCUUCGCAGUUUAAGUGGGUGUUUGUAGAUUACACUAAAAUGUUGUUCCACUCAGUAUUAUAGCAUUUAAAAUGCAAAUCCCUCCUUUACAAUUUUCAAAAGAGAACUGAUGGUCAGUUCAUAAAAUAUGCAAGUGCUUGAAGGUUCCAUCAAAAGGAAAACACACAAAUGAUUGAUUCCAUUUCUAUUGGUAUCCAUAACUCCAAAGUCUUAACAAAAAUAAUAACCAACACACUCAGGGUAGAGGUAAGCUAAGAACUGAAACAUUUACCGUGCUUCUUGUAAAUUGUGUUGUUUCAUCAGUAAAAGGCCAUAAGCAAAGAGAACACUGGUUUUCUCUCGCACUCCAACAAAUGAAUCCAUCAUUCUGUAAACUGGUCCAAUCAAAUCAAAUGCCUGCACAAAAACAACUUUUCUGUAAGAGCAUUUAACUUAUGAAAAUGAUAACUGAAACUAAAAAUUAAUUAUAAUUUUCAGAAAAUAACCCAUUUUCUAUUACAAGAAGGAAUUUUCACCUGUGAAGAUGAUUCAGCAUCACCAAUGCAGAUGUAAGAAACAGCUGCAUAAACUUGGCACAUAGCUUGCAUUGAUUUGCUCUCCGUUAGCUACAAUUACCAUUAUUUGUGAUUUAUAUAACAUUUCACAAACAAUUCUUAAGUUGAAAGAGGAAAGAAACCCAUAAAACAUGUGUCAACACUUAAAAUGUGCACAGAGAGAGGACCAAUCCAAUGUCAGUGCCAGCACUCCUAUCCCUCAUUCGGAUCUCUAACUCUAAAGUCUCCAAUUACUAGUUUCCAAUAUGUAAAAUAUAUUUCAAAAGGAUUACAACAAAGAGGCAACUUCCAUCUCAUCUCUCAUGCUUUAAAUCAAUUGCUAUGAAAUGCAGACUAUUCUGUUAAAAACCAAACAACAUUCCGUCUUUUACUUGAAUCAAAUGGGAAAAAAUACUACUACUACACUCAAAAUCAUUGAUGUUGCAGAGAAUUUAAAAUAAAAAUAAGAAGAAAUAUGGGAGAUGCCAGGCAAGAUAGAAGUCCCCUGCCUCCUUAUUCCCGUAGUUUAAACACUUUUUACAUAAACCCUAACUAAGACAUCAGUCCAAUUGCUAAUUUGACGAGGAAUAGGCAAAACAGGAUAAUUGGCAAUUGGUUUUCACCAUGAGCCCGAGGGACAACAAUCUUUAAAACAACAUAAAUCAAAUGCGAAUCAGCCAUACAAGCAAGAAUUUCAUAUGGACUUAUGACAGGACACAAUGAAGUAAUUGAGGAUGUAUCAAUGGAAAUUUAGAAAAUUUUACCAUUAAGAAAUCAUAUGAUAUAAUCGCAUUGCAAUAAAAUAUCCUUAAAAUAUUUUUAAAAAGGAAUGGCACAACCAUAACGUUUCACUCAACUUCUAGAACAUAACAGACUAGGAAGAGGUUCCUCCACACAUCUGAAGCCAAUUUUUGUUUUUUAACAUUUGAUAAAAACAAAAAAUAAAAAAUAAAAACAAAUGUUUUUAACAUCUUAAACAACAUACUCAUGUAAAAAAAAAAGGCUAAAUAAACAAAUUAAACAACAAACCUUUGCUGCUUCAAUAAAAUGGAAAGCUGCUUCACUAAAACAUCCAACUGAAUGAGCAUACUGCCCUCUGAGCAUCUCAAUAAUGCUUUCACAAGCUUGUAAAAUUGUUGGAAAGCGAAGGAACCAAUUUCUCAUCUGCACCAAGGCCUGCAGUCAUACAGAUCAUGAUUACUUUUCUUUUAUUUUCUAUUUUCAUUUUUCAAUUGGGUCUUGGUUACUGGUUUUGUUUUAUUAGUUCAUUCAUGCACACACAUGUACACAUACAUACAUGUGUCUAUGCACAUGCAUGCCAAGAAUAAGAUUAAAGAUUAGAGAACUUACUAUCACACCAAAGUGACACUAACAAUAGUCUAUUGCAACUUAUGAAAGUCCAGCUGCUCAGUUAUCAAAACAACUGCAGAAACGUGACUAUUCAUUUCAAGAAACAUUUGGCCAUCUCAUGGAAAGGAAAUACCAAAUGAGCCCCUUUCCAUAGCUUUUGAAAUCAAUUUAUUCCAUAAUAAGCAUAGAAAAUAAAGGUGUUUCUCUAUUUUUACUUUGAAUAACAGAUAAAGUAUUUAUACAGGAUCCCUACAACCCAAAAAAAGGAAACUUCCUAAUAAUUUGUUCCUAUAAAUCAGCUCUUAUUAGGUACAGCUCAUAUAAUAUAAUACAAAAUAAAUACAUAAAUAAAUUCAAAAAUAAACAUAGUUUUUUCCUAAAAAUCAAGACUUGAUUAGGGAACCAAUAUUCUCUCUCCUGAUUGGAUUCUAAAUCUGUAAAUACUCCCCCUCAAGCUGGAUAGAAGAUAUCGUCCCUUCCCAUCUUGCUAGUCAACUCCUAAAAUGAAUGGCUGGCUAGUUCCUUGGUUAACUUUAGCAACUCACAAAUCUCAACUGUCAUAGCUUUGAACUCUACUUCUGCACUUGACCUAGCAACAACUAAUUGUUUCUUGCUUCUCCAAAGUUGAUCUUCUAUCAGUAAUGAAUCUUGACAAAUCAACAUUAGAAUAGGCCUCUAAACUCAACUCUCCAUUUCUCUUAAAGAGAAUUCCUUUCCCUGGGUGAAGUUCAGAUAAUAAAAAAUUCUGUGAACAACCUCUAGAUGAACCUCUCUAGGGGAAUACAUAAAUUCAAUCGCCACACUUACUGCAUAGGCUAUAUUUGGACAUGUAUGAGACAAAUAAAUCAGUUUUCCAACUACCCGUUGAUAUCUCCCACAAUCCACUACUGUAUCUUCUUUGGCUUCUCCAUGUUUAUGAUUCAGAGUCAUUGGGAUAUCAACAGGUUUACAGCCAAUCAUCCAUGUGCCUUUAAGGAGAUCAAGAAGGUAAUUUUGUUGUGAGAUGAAGAUCCCACUUCUCGAGUAAACAACUUCAAUACCCAGAAAUACUUGAGCCUCCCCAAAUCUUUUAUUUGAACUCUUUGGACAAUUGCCCUCUAAGCUCAUAUAUCUCUACAAGAUCAUCACCUGUCACAAUAAUAUCAUCCACAUAACACUAUCAAGGUUGUUACUUUACCAAAUGAUGAGUGCUUGAUCAAGAGAGUGUAAUAUCCUUCGACUAUGCCAAAACUUCAUAUCAACCAUAGGUUUAGAAAACCUUCCAAGCCAUGCUCUAGGAGAUUGCUCCAACCUAUAUAAUGCCUUCUUCCACCUACGCACAAGUGCCUCUUGAACUGUUCAUGGAAUUUUGACAUGGAUCAAUUUGGAUAGCAAGCCACAAUGCGAAGAAGAUAAUUUACCAAAAAGAACUAAGGUUGGAGAUGGGUUGUUGAGUACACUUUCUUGUUCCUUUCCUAAGGGUGAUAGGUAAUUCUAAACCAUCAAAAGAUGGCAUUGGUUCGUUGGUAGUGCAUGUUUGAAUGAGUUUUGUUUGUUCCUUUGAAGAUAAAGGAGAAGAAGAAUGAGAGCGAAGUUCAGUACUUAUUACUGGUUCAGAGUUUGAGACCUGCACUGGAACAAGAGGUGGUUGUCUCCUCCUUAAAUAGAAUUGCAACGGCACAACAGUUUCCCCUUGGUCAUUUCCAAAAGAUAAAUUAGCUAUUGUUUUCAAGAAAGUAUUUUUGUCUAGUGAUGGAAGAUCAGCUUAUGGGCUAAUGGUAGGGUUCAGACUACUUGAUGAAGGGUUUCCCAAGUGGUUGAGAUAAGAAAAACAGCUAGGACUCCCUGAAGAUAAAGGGUAGAAAAGAAGGUCUGAUUUUCAGCAAAGGUCACAUCCAUGGAUACAAACAUUUUUUUCGAGGCUAGGUGACAACACUUGCAUCCCUUUUUGCUGAAGAGUAGCCCAUAAACAUACUUUUAAGAGAGUGGCAAUCCAAUUUGCUAUGAUGAUUGGCAGGGACAUGAACAAAAGAAGAGCAUCCAAAUAGCUUGGAAGGAGUUAAUUAUAACCACGGAAUUGAGGGAAGAACUCAAAAAGAACAAUUAUGGAAGUCUUGUUGUCCAAGGUUCUAGAGGGCAAUCGAUUAAUUAAGUGUGCUGCAAUUAGAACUGCCCCCUAAAAAAUGUUUCUAGGACAUUUUUCUUAAACAACAAAAAUCAAGUCAUUUCAAGAAGAUGACGGUUUUUUUCACUUAGCCACUUCAUUUUGUUGUGGAGUGUAUGUGCAGAAGAUUGAUGAACAAUUCCCUGCUUCUAAAGAAAAGGGGACACAACUUGAUAAAAAUAUUUUAUACCAUUGUCAAGUCUUAUUUUUUAAAUCAAGACUCCAAACUAAAUACUAAUCAUCUUAUGGAACACUAGAAAUACAAAACUCAUAUCAAAUUUAUUCUUUAAUAAGAAUAGCCAUGUAACUCCAAAGUAGUCAUCAAUAAAGAAAACAAACCAAUGAGCUCCAUUGAUGUUGGGAAUACGAGAUGGCCCCCAAACAUCAGUAUAGAUUAGUGAAAAAGGAAACAAAAGAUUUAGUAUCAUUCAAAGGAAAAUGUACCAGAUAAUAUUUAGCGAAUUCACAAUUAAAAUCACUGACAUUCAAGUAUUUUGGACGGUUUGGAAGGAAAGAAAUAGGAUUGCUUUUGAAAAUGAGGAGUUCUCGAUUCAAAGGUUGAAAUAUUCUUUUGUUAGUAACUUUUGGUUGUGGGCUAAGCCCGUAUAUAGAUGAAGGGUCUAAUUUUUUAAUCAACUUUUUUUCUUGGUUGGGCUCUAGGUGAGGGCGGGUGUGUUUUUUUUAACCCCUCUCUCUUUUGUUUUCGUCUUUUGGCGCCUAUUGUAUACUUCCUGUAUGCUUUGGGUUGUCCAUUAUGUGCCCUCUUCUUAUUAAUAUAUACUUUUUCCGUGUCUUUGCCUAUCAAAAGAAAAUAAUGAGGCUAAAUUUAGGCUUCAUUUAAUGAAUUUUUUUUUUAAAUGAGUGAGAGGAAGACGGCCACUACUGCCAUCACUUGUCUCAAGGAAAUAUAGUCCUUCCAUUUCCUUAGCACGCUCAUUAAGCCUUCCCAUGACCUGAUAGAGGGACACACAAUAAGUUAGGAAGAAUAUUAGACUACAAUUAAGGUCUUUUGUGACUUGAUUGUUGGAUAAAAUAUUAAAUGAUUACCAAUGACAUGCCACAAGUGACAAGACCCUACAAAUCUCUUAGUCCUCAUUGAUGCAUUUUAUGCAAAGGAAAUGGAGAAUCAAUUGACCAUCUUUUUCUACUUGUCUAAUAACACUAGAGCUUUGGCAUAAGCUCUUCAAUGUAGCUAAUAUGGAUUUGGGUUCCACCAAAGAGUAUUGAAGAUAUGAUGAUUAUUUCAUUUAAAGGCUUAGGGAAUUCAAUCAGAGGCAAGACUCUUUGGCAUAUCGCAUUCACCACUGCAUUGUGGUUUGUGUGGCAAAAGAGAAAUGCUAGGAUUUUUUAGGAAAAGUGCAGAACGGAAGGGAUGUUAUGGGAUCUUAUUCAUUUCUACACCUCUUUUUGGGCUUCGUGUACUAUCACUUUUAUAGGAAUUCCACUUAAUGUUAUUCUACUUAGUUGGUUUUUGGUUUGUAAAGGGGUAGAUAACGUUUGAGAGAGUUUAAUCAGGUUUUGUACUUUGUGGGAAGGACGUUUCAUCCGCCUCUUCAACUUUACUAUUAUCAAUAUAUAUUUUGUUUCCAAUAAGAAAAUAAAAAAUAAAAAAUAAAAAAAGGUUAAGUGAUAGUUUAGAAACGCAUAACACAGAUUUUAGUGAGAGAGAUUGUGUCAAAACAAUUGAUCCUUGACUAGCCAUGAUGGUCAAUAUUCCAUCUGCUACUUUGAUUUUUGGGUUUCCAAGGCAAGGGCUAUAGAAAGUGAAUCAAUGGGGAAUUUGUCAUACAGAGGCACUAAAGGCAUAAGAUAAGGAUUAUUCACAUAAGUCAAAAACAAAAGGCGUAGGCUUAUCUAGUGAUGCAAGCAGCCUAUGGAGUUGUUCAAUCUCUUUGUUGUUAAAUCCAUUGAUUUUUGUUGCAUCGAAGACCACUUUCUCUUUAUGAGAACCAUCCUCUAAUGAGCAAGGUUAGCCUAUCCAUUUUGCCAUCUCAAGUUUUAGUUUUCAUUAUCAAUGGAUUGUAGUUAUCCAUGGAGUUUCUACCAAUACUCCUUAGUAACCCAUGGUUUUUUACAGUAGACACACCAAACAUCAUCCUUGUUGCUUGUUGCUCUCAAUUGAUCAAUCUUUCCAAGUUCAACCAUGGAUCCAUUUCCCAACCCAAUGCUUUGGUUUUGUAGUGAACAAAGUUGAGCCUUCAACAACACGAAAAUCAAGCAUCACGAUUCUCCAUCCUUCCUAACCAUUACGAUUGAAAAGACUCCGUUUAAUGAAGGUAGUGAUUCCUUAUCAAGAACCUGGACCUCACACAGACUCUAUAUUCAGACCAACAAGAAAAUGAAAAAGCGUCUAAUAAUUUUAACACAACAUAACAACAUGACUUGAAAACAACAUGAACUUUAGCAAGUUCAAGUUAUAUAUAAUUAUGUUUGUAUCAUAAUAGUGUUAAAUCAGAUAACCAGUUUAAUAAAUGGGUCAUGUUUAGAUAACUCAUAUAACUCAGGUUACAAUUUUUAAAAUUUCUAAGGAUAUAAAAUAAGUCUAUACUUUUUAUAUAAAAAUUUCUAAUUUUUAUAUAGAAGUUAUUACUAACAAAAAACAGAAAAUGUGUCCAAACAAGAUCUAACUAAAGUAAAUUUCAAAUAUUUUAUCAUAAGGAAUAAAAUAUUUUUUUCAUUAAAACAUUAAUAAAAUAAUAACCAAGUGCAAAAUUAAAAUUUUAAUUUAUUUUCUAAUUUAUAACAAUAUUAUAAUUAAAAUUAAAUAAUUAAUUUAAUUAGGAUUAAAAAAUUGUAAUUUGAAAGUUAAAGCAACUAAAAAGUAUUUUAAAAUAAUAUUUUUAUAAAUUUUAAAUAGGUUAAGUGGAUUAUAAUUGUGUUGAGUGUUUUUUUGUGUUCUUUUUGUGAAGGCUUCCUUUUGGUGCUCCUUGUAUACGUACCGUGCACUCUAGUGUACCCUAAUAUAUACAUAUUGAUUUUUACCUAUCAAAAAAAGAAAUUAAUUGUUUUAAUAGGUUUAAUUGGUUAAAAUCGUAUUAAUGGGUUUAACGAGUUACAAUCAUAUUAUUUCAAAUUUUAAUAAUAUACAAUUAUAUAUGUAUGAAGUCAUGCUAACAUCACAAUUUAACCAUAAUUGACCACCAAUCCGAUCAGUGAAUCAUGGUCCAACAAUUUUUUCAAUUCAAUGACCAAUUUGAUUUUGAAAACAUACAGGAUCCUACAAAACCCUGGGGGGUAGCUCAGUUGGUCUGGCCUUGGGUUUACUCCCCAAUGGUCACCAGUUCGAGUCCCGUCAGGGCCACUAGAGGUUUACCCCGUCGUUAACUUCAGGGCCCCAUGGGAUUAGUCGAGGUGCGCGUAAGCUGACCCGAACAUCCACGGUUAUCAAAAAAAAAAAAAAAAACAUACAGGAUCCUACAACCAUGAAAGGGUAACUUCAUAAUAAUCUAAUCCAAUAAAUCUGCUCCUAUUAGGUAACAACUCUUACAAGAUAAAUACAAAAUAAAUAAAAAAGAAAUUCAAAAAUAAACAUAGAUUUUGCCCAAAAAUCAAAACUCAAUUUGGGAACCAAGAUUUCCUCUUCUGAUUUGAUUCUGAAUUUGUUAACAAUAAGUAUGAGAUCAUUAGAAGGGUUAUGAGAAAUGACACAAUUUACAUUCUCACAUUCCAUUCUUGUCAUGACUCCACCUAUUUGCUAAGACUUCCUUUUAAAGAAACAUAUUUCUACAUUUAAGUCUAUAGAAAACAAAAUUCAAGUUUCUCAAUUUAGAUAAAGCCCCUUGUAUACCCUCAGUCCACAUAGUGUGCACCCCUUUUCUUUGAUAACACCAUUUAAUAAAUUUUUUGUUUGCCAAAGAAAAAAAAAUUAAAAACAAAAAUGUCUUAAUCAUUUUCAUAUGUGCAUAUAAAUUUACCUUUUUGAACCAAUAUACACUUAACUACCUUUUUUAUCAUACUUUUUGUAAAGUAUAUUGUACUUCUUAAAAGGAUCUCUCACCCUUUUUUAUACUUAAUAUUUCAAUGCAAUGAAAUUGUAGUUUCCUAUUAUUUAAAAAAAAAAAAAAAAAGUAAAGUACAAAGAAGGAUAAAAAAUAUGAGCAGUGUAUACUAGGGUUUUUUUUUUCUUUUUUUAGUUUUUUAAUUGGAAACAAAAUCAAGAGUCCUCCCCACAGUUACAAAAAGCUAAUAAAAAAAAUGGCUUAACUCUACCACUAUACAAGGAGACCUAGCCAAUAGUUUAGCCCAAAAGAAAAGACAACGGCAUCUCCUUAAACCCAAACAAAACUUCUCUCAUUGCUAUUCGAACCUUUACAUUCUACACAAGAAGGACCAAUCAAGCUUAACAACAUUGAGAAGAAUGCCUUUAAAAACAAAAGUACAAGAGGCCAAAAAAGAAGAAUAGAAGUGAAUUAGAUCCCCUAGUAUCUCUACCAUCCUCUACUUAUCCUCAAAGACCCUAGCAUUCACUACACCAUUGAUAUUAGUGUGAGAAAAGCAGUUUGCUAUAAGAUCUUGCCUCUAAUGGUGCUCCUCAAACCCCUAUAUGAGAUGGUCAUCAUAUCACAUAUGAUCCUUUAUUGUACCAGUUAAGGCUAAGGGUGUAAGGUUUUCCUCGAUUGUAGUAUAUCAUUGGUUUACCUUUUUAUGUGUCAUGAAUUGGGCAAAGGCCUUUUGGAAAGUCAACAUAAUCCAAAGUUAGGAAUUGUAUAUUUUUUUAUUUAAUUUAAGCUAAUUUCUAAUAUUGUGACUUUUUUUUCCUUUACUAUAAAUAUAAUCAAUCCAACACUUAAUUGUUAAAUAUUGAUCCUUGAGUUUUAGGAAUUGUACAACUACAUAAUUAUUUCCCUUUUAGUGUAGAGAAGUCCUCUAUAUAUAUCAUGUACAAAUUCAUUUAGAAAUAAAUGAAUAAUUCUUAUUCGUCACUAUAUGGGGCUUUAGACUUCCAUACAAAUUUGAUUGGAGAAAAGGACCUCUAUCUGACAAAUUGGACAAGGCCAUGAAGAAGGAUUUACUAAGAACAAACCUGAGGAAGAUAAUAACCAAGCUGUCACAUCCGAGACAACUGAAGACAAAUGCACACAAUUUAUAGAAGGAAUAAGUCUUUCAAGGUCCUCAAUCUCUAAAUCAAUGAGGUUACAACGGAAAUUAAGGUUCCAAGAAAAAGAGAGAGUUGUCAAGGAUAGUUGAGAUGGAAAGGUUUUCACGAUAACAACUUUGGAAAGCCUUGGAAAUUGAGAAUAUAAAGGUUUAUAUAUAUAUAUAGGUAAAUAGAGAACAUAAAGGUUGAUCCCUCCACCAUAAAUAUUCCCAAAAACAAAUUCUCAUCUCCUCACCCACCACAAAGCGAGUGUUAUAUAAAAAUCCUCAAAAACCUAUACAAUAGCCUUCCAAGAGCGCCAAUGUGACCAUCUAACUAGAAUGUUAGUAUCCCAAGCACUAGGACAUAUCUCAUAAAUACUCAAAAUGACCUGAUGACAAAGGGGGGAACUUUCCCUAGUAAACCUCCAUAACCGCUUCCCUCAAGAGAGCAUGAUUCCUUAAAGAAACCUUCCCCAAUCUCAAACCUUCACACACCACAGGCUAACAUACUAGGUCUCAACGGAGAAGAUGAUCUCUUUUACCCUCCCUAACCCUCAACUAAAGAAAAUCUCUUUACAACUUCUUAAUCCUUUACAUCAUUGAUGUUGGAAUCUUGAAAAGAGAUACGGAAUGGCUAGGAACGUGGGACAAGCAAGACUGGAUUAUAGUUAUUCUUCUACUUAAUAAUAAAAAAUCAAAAAUAAAAACUUUUUUCCACCCUUCCUAUCUCCUCGAAAUUUUGCAAAUCAUUAGAUCUCAAAAUGCAUUUGCCUUUGGGUUUCAGCCCAAUGAAAGACCUAGGUAAGUUAGAGGACAGUCUAAGAUUUUACAUUCAAGCAUCAAAACUAAACUAGAGAGCUAAUCCUAACUCGUGAUGAUUAUAGAAAAAUCACCCUUUUCUAAAUUGAUAUUAAGUCCUGAAAUGUGCCCCAAAACGAGCAAGAUUAGUUUAAGGUUUUACGAAUCUACCAUAUUAAUUCUAGACAAAAAGAUAAAGUCAUUUGCAAACUAUAAAUGUGACACUCUAAUCCUACUCCAACCCAUAAGGAAGCCCUCCAAUAAACCAUUAUGCUCCGCUCCCAACAUCAACCUACUUAAAACGUCAACUACAAUGAUGAACAAAAAUAGGAAAGAGGAUCUCCUUGUCUUAAACCUUAAAAUGCCUUAAACCAUCCUUUGGUGUUCCCAUUCACUAGGACCACAAAAUUUUCCAAGGACAAGCAUCCCCUCAUCCAAUACCUUCAUCUUGUACUAAACCCCUUUUGCUCUAGUACAUGGUCCAAAAAACCUCAAUCCACAAGAGCAAAGGGUUUUUCAUAAGCAAUUUUGAAGAUUACCACUUCCUCACCUAAUCGCAUUUUCUCAUCCACCUAUUCAUUGGCCAUCAAAAUUGUGUCCAAAAUUUGUGUCCCCUUAACAAAGGCUCCUUAAGAAAUGCAAAUGGUUUCAUGGAGGAUUCUUCAUAUACACCUUAAUAAGACCUUAGCAAUAAUCUUCUACAAGCUAGUGAUUAAGUUAAUGGGUCUAAAAUAAGAGAUUUUGUUGGUUUGACCGCUUUUGGUACAAAAACAAUGAAGGUAGCAUCGGUGCUUCGUUUUUGUCACAAUGUAAAAUCUAAUUCAAAAGGUUAAAAAAGCAAGUGCUUACUAUUUCAGUGCAACUAAAUUGUUGUUUCUUUUUUAAAAAGAAAAAGAAGAGGAAUUGGAGUUCCAAGAACAAGCCUUCAAAACAAUUAAAAUACUUCAAAUGUAAACAAAUUGAGAAUUUAUGGGAAGAAAAACAUCGUGCACUAAUGGCCUUAACACCAUAGUACUUUGGCAAAUGAUUUUUUUCCUUUUUCUUUAGUUCUUUUUCUCUACAAAGAGGGCCUAUCAAUAUGUGAAAAAUAGCCAUAAUGUCAUAAAUAAGCGUUGAUGUAAACAAAAUUCAAAUUCAAAAUAAGAAUUGAUUUAACCCACUGUUCCCUAUGGUUGAUUCAUGCUGACUGAAACACUUGUAAAUUGCACAAGCUCCCUAACAACAAACACCAAAAAACAUACCAAAGGGGAUGCAAGAUUUCAUUUAAACUGGAUCCGGAAAUACAAGGACAGAAAUAAUUGCAUGUGAUUCCAAAUAACAAGUGUAAAUUAAAUAUGGUGAUACUGGAAGCAAAUGACUCACCUCUUGUGCUUCAACAAAUUCAGACCGUGUGAGCUCCACAGCUACUUUAUUCUCAAGGAACUGCAUUAAAAGCAUUAAAUACACACCAGCCAUCCAGAUAGCAGAAUGUUGUAAAUCCACUUCUGAUUGACAGAAGAUUAGGGAAAGGUAGCAUUAGAAACCUUAGAGAGUCGCAAAUACAAAGUAAUAAGGGCAUCCACUGAAGAAGAGCCUAAAAUAGGAACCUAUAUAAACCUAUCAAAAAAAAUAAAAAAUAGGAACCUCUAUAAAGAAAACUGAGGCUCACCCCUCACACUAUCACUGAUUCCAAGCUUCAUCAGCUCCUCUGCACACAACAAGAUUGUAGCUCAUCAACUAGGCGUCUAUGAACUAAUUUCCAAGUAGCUAUAGGCAACUAUGCCAAAACAUGACACAUGCUACUAAAAUGGAGUGAGAGCUUGUUUUAAUUGCUAAUGUUUCUCAUAUCCCAAUAAAUUCCAAAAGGUACAUAAAUGUCUCAUUUAAAGUGCCUCUCUCUCUUUAAUUUUGUGAAGUCACACCUUUCUAACAUUUGCAAAAUGAUACAACUUCCCCCCUAUCAACAAUUAGUGUGAGAUGUUAUAUUUCUCUACUCUUGAUACCUUUCAUCAUGAAAUUCAGAGACACAAACUGCAAGCUGAUAAGUGCAAGAUAUCAACUUAAAACACAUAAAUGUAUCCACAUUUAUUUGCGUCUGGAAUAUCAUACAUCUUUAGAGUGGUGCAUACUUUAAGGUUAUUCAUGCUUUUCAAUUGAUAGUUCAAGAAAAGUAUAUAAAAAAUUUAGGGGAGGAUAAGAUUCCUUCAAGAAAAAUCCAUAAGAGUAAACAUGGGAAAAGAGAAAGCAAAAUAUACUCUUCAAGAGGUUGAUCAUGGAGCAUGAGAGAUGAAUCCGAUCUAAUCACUACCAUGAUGAAGAUAAUGUGAAAUAGUAAAAAAUUGGAAAGAUUUUGUUCUUUUGAGAGGGACAAUCCGUCCUUUAUUUUGUAUAUGCUUGUGCUAUUCAAUGAAAAGAAUUGUUUGGAUCAGUCAAAGAGGAAAAAAAAAAAACAAAAACAAAUAAAUAAAAUGGUCAAAGGAUAACAGCAACAGAAAGAUUUUAUAUCCCAACUAUGUAGGUUCUGUCAUGAGAAUCUUCGUCUGCCAUUUAACUCUAUCUGUGAUCAUGUCCUCCAUUAAUUUAAGAGGGAUCGAGAGAGAGGGAGAGAUUAAUUGUAUCUUAAUCUAAGAAACAAACCUUGGAUGGUACGAAGUCCAGAUUGGAUCCGCUUCCCACACUCCUUAAAAUUUCCCUUUGGACGCCCAAAUAUGACAACCAUAAGAUCAAUAAGGCCAUAGACAGCACUUUUGGGUAGCCACUCCCCAUCAAUAGGAGGAGGUGCCAGAUCAAGCUUAUCUCCCCAUGCCCGUUUCACAUUUCCAAAAUAUGCUGAUUCCAGAGAUUCUUUGCCACUUGAACCCAAUCUAGUUACACGUCUCAAUUGCUCUUGAACCUGAGCUUGUUUUUCAGAUAGUGCAGAUCUAUCUGUGUAAUGUAAGUCAUGUCGGGACAGACUUUGAUUUAAGGCAUCAAGUUCCUUGGUCAGCUCCUGUAUAUGCUGCAUUUGCUGCAAAUCAGCCUUCAUAGCGGCAUCUAAUUUGUCCACAUGCUGGGCAGCGUUCUUGUAGUCACAUAUCCGGAGUCGAUAGAAAAUAUGAAGCAGUUCAUUGUAAAAGAGUAAACCAAGGGAUUGCUGCCUCUUUAUAUGUGUUAGGAGGUUCAUGUGUAUGGUGAAAAAAACAAGAAUUAGCAUUCAAGGGCAGAUAACUGUAAAAAUAAGGAUAAAAAAUCAAAUUCAAAUAAAAACACGUGAAUGAUCCAUUUUUUGUAGGCAUAAUCAUAACAAUAUAAUUAAUUAAUUGGACAAUGUGGAGUUCAUUUGAUAGAGUCCCUUAUUAAUAUAAUUGAAUAAGACAGGCAAAAGAAAGAAGGUUUUAGGAGGGAAUGGAUCUAUGUGAAACAAACUAAUUCUGCAUCAUAGAGGAGGAAGAACCUACCUGGCUAGCCCCCUUCAAUUGGAAGAAAAUCUGAAAUUGCCAUAGUCAAAGAUAUUUUGGAAAUUUCACAAAUGAGGUUGUUCGGUGUCUUAGUUAGCAAGUGUUUUUUUUUCUUUUUUCUUUUUUUUUGGCUAUAUUUUUGUCAAUUUCUUAUGCUAGUUUGAGAUCACUUGGGACUUGUUUGGGAACAUUAUAAAAACAAUUCUCUAACAUUGUUGUAGAAUAAAAAUCUAUAUGGGAACCUCAAAAUGUACUCAACCUGUUUUCUAUGUUUUCAAAUAUUUUUCAAAAUUACUUUUACCUAUAAUGUUUUAUUUUCAAUCAUUCUCCAUAUUUGUAAAAUUAUUUUUUAAAACAACCCCCUCCCCCCCACCAAAACAAAAAAAGUGAAAAAAAAUUAAAAGAUGUGGUCAGAAAAUACCUUGUUUUCAAAACAAGUUCUCAAAAGACUGUUUUCUAUCAAAAAAAUACCAAAUGUGUUUUCAAGUAUGAAAAACAGUUUUCUGUUUUUAAAAACAACUUCCAAGUAGCCUCUUGUGUUUUCUUGUGACUUUCAAGUGGUAUGUUGGUUGAAGGUAAGACCAUACUCAUGGGCUUUGUUGAGACUCUAAAGUUCUUCUUUAUUCUAUUUUCCCUGCUGCUGCACGCACUUUAUUUAUAACCAACAUUCCUUAACCCUCUAUUUUAUUCCUAAAAACGUUCCAGCCUCAUCUUAAGAGUAUUCUUUCACUCCUAAAAUAUGAAAUGAAAUACAGCUCCACUUUGCUUACUUUGGUGUUUAUGAAUGAACGAAAUAGAUAAAUCUUCAACAGUCUGAAGUAAUCAAAGUUGCAACUAAAAAACAUGAAAAUGGUUUUUGCAAUAGCUAUUAAUGCAUAGGGCUCCCCAUAAGGAGUAAUCUUCAACAGUAUGACUAGUGGAUCUAUAGGGAAUGGGAAAAUGGUUUUUGCAAUUGCUAUUAAUGCAUAGGGCUCCCCAUAAGGAGUAAGAUAGGUAGCUUGCGUUUAACUCCAAACAAGUUUAGAACUAUGGAUUCCUUGGUAUUACUUAAUAUUUCUCUGAAAAAAUUCAUUCUCUACUAAAUUUUGGCCCUAAAUUUUGCCCUUGAGCCAUGGCUCAAGUGGCAAGGGAUUGAGGGUAGAGUCGUGGGGGGUCCCAGGUUCAGGUCCUCAGGAGGACCCAAGGAAAAGAAGUAUACCAAUCCAAAAAAAGGCACUAAAUUUUCACAUGAAAAACUAUUUUAGUACCAAAUAUUAAGUGAAUCAGUGUUCCACUUUUUACUCAACAAAGCGCCAUGCAACUACUUUGACAACUAUUUUUACCAUCCUUCCAUAUGCAGGGCCAUAUGCCAAGACCACUGGUAAGGAUGUGAGUUCCAAGGUUAACAUUCAAACAGGUUUGACAAUACAUUCUACUACUGUCCACCCAAUACAAUCCUUCUUUUACCAAGCUCAGAAUCAAUGGUGUGAGAUGAAAG
This 49430-nucleotide long non-coding RNA is filed under the name Vitis vinifera (wine grape). RNAcentral describes it as "long non-coding RNA (VVIN_LNC001795)". The record is from RNAcentral. Lineage: Eukaryota; Viridiplantae; Streptophyta; Magnoliopsida; Vitales; Vitaceae.